Molecule: long non-coding RNA, 55917 nt
Filed under: Nicotiana benthamiana
Lineage: Eukaryota; Viridiplantae; Streptophyta; Magnoliopsida; Solanales; Solanaceae
Description: long non-coding RNA (NBEN_LNC028724)
Source: RNAcentral
UCGGUCUCCGGUUGGAUGGUUUGAGCCAGGAGAGGCUCGAUUUUUUGGUACGAAUCUGGUUCAGGAGACCUUGGACAAGGUCAGGAUCAUUCGAGAUAGUAUUUGUACAACUGAGUCCAGGAAAAAGAGCGAUGCCGACCGCAAUGUUCGAGAUUUGGUUUUCAUGGUCGGUGAGCGGGUAUUGCUUCGAGUGUCACCUUUGAAGGGUGUGAUGAGAUUUGGGAAGAAGGGCAAGCUUAGCCCUAGUUUAUUGGUCCAUUUGAGAUUCUUGAUCGAGGGGGAGAGGUGGCUUAUAGACUUGCAUUGCCGCCGAGCUUAUCAAUCGUGCAUCCAGUGUUCCAUGUGUCCAUACUUCAGAAAUAUCACGGUGAUCCAUCCGAUAUGUAGAUUUAGGCACCAUCCAGUUGGACAAGGACUUGUCUUAUAAGGAGGAGCCGGUGGCUAUUCUAGAACGGCAGGUUCGUCAGUUAAGGUCGAAGAGUUCUCCUUUUGUUUGUGUUCAGUAGAGAGAUCAUCCUCCUAAGGCAUCGACAAGGGAGUCUGAGUCGGAUAUGCAGAGCGGUUAUUCCCAUCUUUUCCCGACUUAGGUAUUUUCUGCUUAUGUCCGUUCGAGGACGAAAGUUGUUUUAGAGGUGGAGGAUGUGAUGACCGAAAAGUUCAUCACUUCUUUUUAAAUUAAAUUCUAUAUUUUUAGGCCUUAUAAACCUCUUUUAGCCUUGCCUCGAUUUACGUGCACAGUCUGGGCGCGUAGCCGGAAGCUUAUAUGUGAAAAUUUGUGAAAAAUGAUAAAAUUUGGCUAAUAAAUGAAUUAAUUUGACUUCGGUCAGCAUUUUGAGUAAACGGACCCGAAACCCUAACUUGACGGUCCUGGAGGGUUAGUAUGAAAUUACGGAACUUGGGCGUAUGCCUGUAAUCUAAUUUCGAGGUCCUAAGCCCUAGAAAUGAAUUUUAAAGAAAAUUAUUUUCUGAAAUUGCUUAUGGUAUUUAUAAAUGAAAUUUUAUUAGAACAUGUUAGUAUCGGGCCCAUAUUUUGGUUCCGGUGCCCGGUACAGGUCUUAUAUAUGAUUUAAGAUGUUUACGUGAAUUUGGUUAAAAAACGGAUAUCAUUUGACGUCAUUCGGAGCUAAGUUGCUAAAGUUUAUAUUUUAUGGAGUUUGAGAAAAAUCCUUUGAUUUUGAGGUUUAAUUCGUUGUUAUUGAGGUUAUUUUGGUGAUUUGAUCGCACGGAUAAGUUCGUAUUAUGUUGUUCAUUUAGAACGUAUGUUUGAUUAGGAGAUAUAAGGGCUCGGGUGUGUUUCGGAAGGUUUCGGACUUAAGAAAAAUAAUAGGUUUUCAACUAUUGGAUUUCUGGUAUUUCCUUCUUUGUGUUCGCCGUAGUAACUACGCAAACGCGAUGAGUUUAUUUUUGCUGAAGGAUUUUCCUUCUACGUGCACACGUAGCUCAGGUCGCGAGCGCGAGGCUUUGGGGGGGGUAUCCCUUCACGAACACGGUCCUGGCUACCCGAGCGCGAAGGCCAAAUGGGCCAAAUGAUAUUCAAUUAUAGAGAAACCCCCAAAACAUGAAUACAAAUCCAAACAACCCUAAUUUAGGUUUGAAUUAACUACUGAACUAUCAAUUAUCCGUCAAAUAGAAAACAAACAAAAUUAAUUAACAACACAUACUCAUGCUAUAUCAUUACGAACACGGGGAAGAAAAGAAAUCAGAGACUUGAGACAAAUUUAAGAACACUGAUCAAGCCAACCAUCAACGCACAAACUAGAUUAAAACAUAUGCAAGGUGGAAUAAAAAAAAAGAUUAAGAAAACUUACCAAAUAAACUUUGACCCAGAAUGACCUCCGAUUUGAGCCUCAAAAUGAUGUCAAUCAUUUGCCCUUUUCCAAGAGCAACAAAUUUAAUUCGUGGCUAAAUCGAGCUCUGAACUUGUGAAGACAUGAAAUUAAUUCUGGUUCAUAGGAACCGGGUCUUUGGAUUUCCAGGGUUAAACUAAUUUCAAGAUUCGAUGGGUUUUGGAGUUAUUCAAAGGAAACCAACAUGGUAUUUGGCAUGGGGGAGGGACUGGUAGUCAUUUAAUAUCGAUUUGGUGGGAAAAAGGGUCGGCGCCGCCGCGCACGGCGGAUGAGUCGAAGCACCACUCAUGGAAUUGGAUAGAGGAGGUUGAAGGGACGAGAUGGUGUUAUUUUGGUGGGGUUUGGAACACUGCUGCCGAUUGAGGCGAUUUCCGGCUGAUGGCAUUUGGGUUUUCUAUGACAGAUUAGAGAGACAAGGUAUGAGGUCUUCUAGGGGGUGGGGUGUUUUGGCACUUAUAUAUGAAAUACAACCCAGCUCCAAUACCGUCCGAUCAAAUGAAAUAGACGGCUCUAAUUAGCCGUUACAAAAACGGCGUCGUUUUGGGUGAUGGACUAGACCAGUUUUAGGGUUGGGCUGGACCAGAUCAAGGGUGCGUUUGGGCUGGGUUCUAAUUCAAGUGACCCAAUGAUUUUAUUCUUCGUUAAUUAAAUGAAUUUUCAGAUUUUUUUCGCUUGUUUUUUCAUUUUAUUUUUUUUCAUUCUCACAAAUUACUAAAACUCCUAAUAUAAUUACAAAAUCUCAAUUUUACCUAUAAAAUACAACCCAAUCCUAUAUAAUUAUUAUCAAACAAAAUUUUAAAAAAUUACCUAAAAAUUCAAAGUUAUAACUAAAAGAGCAAAUUGAACCUUUUUUUUUGUUUUUAUAAAAUGACUUAUUGCUAAUUAAUGCUAGAAAAAUGUCAAAAACCUAUCCGACAUAUUUUUGUAUUUUUGAUGAAUAUGUGUUAAAUUAAAAUACACACAAAAUGCAAACAAUUAACAAAAAAUGUCACGAAACUCCUACAAAUUGCAAACAAAUAAAAAGACUGAUUUUGUUUGAAUUUAUAGGAGUAAUUCAUGUUGGGCAAAACUCACAUGCUCAAAGCUGCCCCUUUUUGCCUGGAAACACGAAGAGUUUUCGUGCAAAGACAAGUGAGUGAUCAUGAGCGAUUUUUGCCUGUCUGAAUAUUCAGUGCUUUAGAGGUUGCCUACAUAUCCUCGGCUAAAGAAGAAUCAGGUUAGUAUAGUUCAGGAGUGUUUGGUAGCUGGGACUACCAAACUUGUGAUCUCACUAUUGCUGCCACUUCUUGCAGACCCCCUUUAUUACACCAUGUAAAAAUAAAAAUAAACUAGACCAAGCUAUGAACUAUGGAUUACACAAGAACCUAUCUAUGUCUUCAAACUUGCUCUUGAUCUUUGUUACUUUGUUGCCUUGUGUACCUCCCUGUGAAACUUCUUGUUGUCUUGUUGUACUUCCUUCUGUGAAACUUCUCGUUGCCCUGUUGCUAUGUUUCUCUUUCUCCAUGUUGAUGCUUGAUUGUUGGACUUGACUUGUAUUCACUUGUUCUACAGGUGGGCGCCUAAGUACCAAAACUUGAACAGUAUUCCCUUGUUCUCCAAGUGGGCGCCUGAUUACCAAAACUAGAAAACUUGAAACCUAUUCCCUUGUUCUCCAGGUGGGCGCCUAAUUACCAAAACUUGAAAAGUAUUCCCUUGUUCUCCAGGUGGGCAUCUGAUUACUAAAACUUGAAAACAUUAAAAGUAUUCCCUUGUUCUCCAGGUGGGUGCCCAUUACCAAAACUUGGAAACUUGAAAUAUAUUCCCUUGUUCUCCUGGUGGGCGCAUGAUUACAAAAACUAGAAACUUGAAAAGUAUUCCCUGAAUUGUAUUCCCUUGUUCUCCAGGUGGGCGCCAGAUUACCAAAACUUGGAACUUGAAAUGUAUUCCCUUGUUCUCCAGGUGGGCGCCUGAUUACCAAAGCUUGGAACUUGAAAAAUAUUCCCUGGUUCUCCAAGUGGGCACCUCAUUGACAAAACAUGAAACUUGUAAAGUAUUCCCUUGUUCUCGAGGUGGGCGCCUAGUUACCAAAACUUGAAAAGUAUUCCCACGCUCUCUAGGUGGGCGCCUGAUUAUCAAAACAUGAAGCUUGAAAAGCAUUCCCUUGUUCUCCAGGUGGACGCCUGAUUACCAAAACUUGAAACUUGAAAAGUAUUCCUUUGUUCUCCAGGUGUGCUCCUGAUUACCAAAACUUGAAACUUGAAAAGUAUUCCCUUGUCAUGGUUACCGAAACUUAAAGCUUGAAAUGUAUUCCCUUCUUCUCCAGGCGGGCGCUUGAUUACCAAAAUUUGGAACUUGAAAUGUAUUCCCUUGUUCUCCAGGUGGUCACCUGAUUACCAAAAUUUGAAACUUGGGAAGUAUUCCCUUGUUCUCCAGGUGGGCGCUUGAUUACCAACACUUAAAACUUGAAAUGUAUUCCCUUGUUCUCCAGGUGGGCGCCUGAUUACCAAAACUUGAAGCUUGAAAUGUAUCCCUUGUUCUUCAGGUGGGCUCCUGAUUACCAAAACUAGAAAACUUGAAACCUAUUCCCUUGUUCUCCAGGUGGGCGCCUGAUUACCAAAACUUAAAAACUUGAAACCUAUUCCCUUGUUCUCCAGGUGGGCGCCUCAUUACCAAAACUUAAUAACUUGAAAAGUAUUCCCUUGUUCUCCAGGUGGGCAUCUGAUUACUAAAACUUGAUACCAUUAAAAGUAUUCCUUUGUUCUCAGGUGGGUGCCUAAUUACCAAAACUUGAAAACUAAAUAUAUUCCCUUGUUCUCCUGGUGGGCGCAUGAUUACUAAAACUAGAAAUUUGAAAAGUAUUCCCUUGUUCUCCACGUGGGCGCCACAUUACCAAAACAUGGAACUUGAAAUGUAUUCCCUUGUUCUCCAGGUAGGCGCCAGAUUACCAAAACUUGGAACUUGAAAUGUAUUCCCUUGUUCUCCAGGUGGGCGCUUGAUUACCUAAACUUGGAAUUUGAAAUGUAUUCCCUUUUUCUCCAGGUGGGCGCCAGAUUACCAAAACUUGAAACUUGAAAUGUAUUUCCUCAUUCUCCAGGUGGGUGCCUGAUUACCAAAACUUGAAACUUUAAAAGUAUAUCCUUGUUCCUUAUGUGGGUGCCGGACUACCAAAACUUGAAAACUUGAAAAGUAUUCCCUUGUUCUCCAGGUGAGCGCUUGAUUACCAAAACUUGGAACUUGAAAUGUAUUCCCUUGUUCUCUAGGUAUGCGCCUAAUUACUAAAACUUGAAACUUGGAAAGUAUUCCCUUAUUUCCAGAUGAGCGCCUGAUUACCAAAAGUUAAAACUUGAAAUGUAUUCCCUUGUUCUCCAGGUGAGCGCUUGAUUACCAAAAUUUGAAGCUUUAAAAAUAUUCCCUUGUUCUCCUGGUGGGUGCCUGAUUACCAAAAUUUGAGACUUGAAAUAUAUUACCUUAUUCUCUAAGUGGGCACCUGAUUACCAAAACUUGAAACUUGAAAUGUAUUCCCUUGUUCUCAGGUGGAUGCCUGAUUGCCAAAACUUGAAACUUGAAAUGUAUUCCAUGUUCUUCAGGUGAACGCCUGAUUACAAAAACUUGAAACUUGGAAAGUAUUCCCUUAUUCUCUAGGUGGGUGCCUGAUUACCAAAACUUGAAACUAGAAAUGUAUUCCCUUGUUCUCUAAGUGGGCGCAUGAUUAUCAAAAUUUGAAGCUUGAAAAGUAUCCCCUUAUUCUCCAGGUGGGCGCCUGAUUACCAAAACUUGAAACUUGAAAUAUAUUCCCUUGUUCUCCAAAUGGGCUCCUGAUUACCAAAACUUGAGACUUGAAAAGUAUUCCAUGAAACUGCUGCCUUUAAACCUUUUUAUAACAAAACAAACAAAAAGAAAAGAAAUUUUUCCUGCCGUAGUUCAGUGCUGGGUGUAUUUGUGAGUGUUAAUCAAAUCCCGUUACAAUGAUAUUUCAAAAAGCUAAAUCCCACUAAUCCAGGUAUUACUUCUAUUGUGUCUUGUUAUCUAUGUUAUCAGCUGGGGACCAGUAAUUAAGGAAGGCUAUAUCCUAUUAUCCACGAGGGUCCUCACAAUUCUUAAUUAAGACAAAUAUUAAAUCCGAAUCAUGUCUGCUGGGGAUAAAUGUUUAGAGCUACAUCACAUUAUCCCAGAUGGUUCUGACAACCUUUUUAAAAUUAAGUCCCACUAUCACAUUAUCCCAGAUGGUCCUGACGACCCUUGUUGGGGAAAUCUUUAUGCCUAACCAUGCUACCCAUGCUUGUUUGAGUUUUAAACCUAGUCCUAUUUUCUAAGAGGGUCUUGACAACUCUUAAUUGAAUCCUAUUUGAACAUGCAAGUUACUUCAUGCUCUUUCUUAUUCCUGACUAUCUCCAACCUUUAUAUAAGGCCCAUUUUCCAGGAGAGUCCUGAGAAUCACAAAUUAAGUGCCCAUUUUAACUCUCAGUUCUCUCUACUGGGGAUUUCUAGUUAAAGUUACGUCCCAUUAUUCAGGCGGGUCCUGACGACUCUUAUAGGGGAAUUAUUUGUGCCAGAUUAGGCUCCCGUUGAAUUUUUAACUGAAUCCCAUUUUCUAGGAGGGUCCUGAGGUUCUCGAUCAUACCUGCCAUGUGCUUGCUUUCCCCUGUGGGGCACUUUCUGGAGAUGUUCCAGAAUUUUCUGCCCAUGUUUCAUUCAAUGAAAAUUAGUUUGAAAAAGUGGUGGUUAGCUUGUGGCAUUCUUGCUGCAAAUGGCCUCACCAUUAUCAUGUUCUAUUGUGUCCAAUUUCCGUACUGAUGAUGAGCCGCCUGAUUUUUCUCGACUGGCCCCUAAACCCUAUGGCUCUUAGAUGAACCGACUGAUCUCUUCCCCAUUCAUUGUGUUACACUCCUGACCCUUUGCCAAAAUCCUUUCAUUGAUUCUUCCCCUAACCGUUUCUACUUUUGAUGCCUUUAUUAUGUUUGGGACGACAUGUGCCUUUCCAUUUGGGAGUUGGUAGUAAGCGUUCAAAUUUCUCUCCUGCUUGCUUGAACACAAUUACUUUGGAAAUAUCUUAGAAGAAAAAUGAAGACCCGAAAGAAAAUUAAAUGCAAUGAAUCUGAAUUUUUAGAAUAAAAGAAUUCCAAAUUUGGCGACUAUUUAGAGGGAAAUGAGGAGAAACUUAUAUGUGGAGGAACAACUGGUUCCCAUGGUUAUGACAUCCACUUCGGCUUAGUCAACCCAGUCUGUCGAAAUGAUCGGCCUUCGGCUGUAUGCUUUGUAGUUGUGACCUUCUUUAAACCCAAACCCUUUAACCAAAUCCUGACCUUGCUUAAUUUAUGAUGUUCUUAACAGAUUUCCAGCGACAACCUUUUUCCAGUUGUUCAUUUCUUGCCUUGCCUUCGCCUUAUGUUGCCCGUGAGGGUUUUUACCGACAAAAGUCUCUCAUUUUCAUUUCUCUCAGCUCCUAUCGCCUUACGGUGCCCAUGAGGGUUUUCACCAAUAAGACUCUCUCAUUUUCAUUUCUCUCAGCUCCCAUCACCUUACGAUGCCCGUGAGGGUUUUCACCAAUAAGACUCUCUUAUUUUUAUAUUUCUUGUUUGAGCUAGAGUGUUGCCCCGGGAUAUGAAUUACCUCUUCUUUCUUGACUCGGUAUUUCCUAAAGACUGAUAAGAAGGGCUUUCCUUGGACCAUAAUGUAGGCUUUUGGAUAAGGUUAGAAAGAAAAGGGUAUUGAAGGCUCAAAAUACUUCAAAUGGUUUCAAAAGUUACAACUUUCGGAAUCAAAUUUUCUUACACCGACCGCAACUUCUGCCCCAGUUUCUUGCUUGGGGCCUUUGAAUUUUUAUUAUAAUGUGACCGAGCCGUGAGGCUGCCUACGUAUCCUUUGAAAGGAAUCAGGUCAAACGUAGUUCAUGCCGAUUCCUUGUUUUUGUGGUCUUCUCUUUUCUUCUUUUCCUUACUCUGUUUCUUCAUUUUUCUUUUGUUGUUUUACUGUUUUGUGGUUUUUCCUUUCUCUCUCUUUUUUUUCUUUGUUUUUCUUUUCCCAUUUUUUUCUUUUUGUUUUUUUUCUCCUCUUUUUCUUUUCUUUUCUUUUUCUUCUUUUUUUCCUUUUUUUUUCUUCUUCUUCCUUCUCUUUUCUCUUUUUUUGUCUUUUCAUUCUUUCCUUUUAUUUUCCUUUCACUGUCUUCUUACACUUGCAUUUUUUAGUUUUGUUACUGAUUCCAAAAGAGGGGUAUUAAAGCUCAAAAGGGUUAGCAAAUGAUAGAGUGUUUAGACAGCCGAAUAAAAUGCCUUCAUCAUUUCGAUCUCUAAAACAUGCCAAGUACAAACAAAUUGCCAAGUAUAAACAAUGAUUUGGACAAAGAAAAUCAUACAUAGUAUCUCUUAGCUGCAUCUGAAUUUAUUGCCAUUUCUACACACUUGCCUUCCAUAUUGGUUAGAUACAACGCCCCGUUGGACAACACUCUUGACACGAUGAACGGCCCUUGCCAAUUUGAGGCGAACUUGCCCUUUGCCUCUGCCUGAUUCAGGAGGAUGCGUUUCAAUACCAACUGACCCACUUACCUUCUUGGACGCACUUUCUUGUUAUAUGCUCUGGCCAUUCUUUGUUGAUAAAACUGGCCGUGACAUACCGCUGCCAAUCUUUUUUCAUCAAUCAAACUCAAUUGCUCCAGAAAGGCUUUGACCCAUUCCUCAUCAUCAAUUUCUACCUCGGCAACAAUUUGAAGGGACGAGAUUUUCAUUUUAACCGGGAUUACUACUUAUGUGCCAUAUACUAACAAAUAUGGAGUUGCCCCUACUGAGGUGCGGACAGUAGUGCGAUAGCCUAAUAGUGCGAAUGGUAGAUUCUCAUACCAUUGCCUGGACCCUUCCACCAUUUUUCGAAGUAUCUUCUUUAUAUUCUUAUUAGCUGCCUCAACUGCUCCAUUUGCCUUGGGGCGGUAUGGGGUGGAAUUGUGAUGUGUAAUCUUAAACUGUUGACAUGCCUCUUUCAUCAAAUACCAAGAGAUUCGCUCCAUUAUCAGUGAUGAGUGUCUUUGGAAUUCCAAACCAACAAAUGAUAUUUGAAUGUACAUAGUCGACUAUGGCUUUCUCGGUCACCGCCUUGAAAGUUUUAGCUUUGACCAACUUAGUAAAAUUAAUAACAACUAGGAUGAACCUGUGUCCGUUGGCAGAUGCUGGCUCGAUGGGCCUGAUGACAUCCAUGACCCAAGAAACGAAGGGCCAUGGUGCAGCCAUAUUAUGCAAUUUAGAUGGCAAGGAGUGAAUCAAGUCUCCAUGCACUUGACAUUGAUGACAUUUGCUCACGAAACUGAUACAGUCACACUCCAUGGUGAGCCAGUAAUACCCUUCGUGGAGAAUCUUCUUUGCCAAAAUAUAUCCAUUCAUGUGCGGUUCGUAGACUCUGGAAUAUACCUCGGUCAUGAUAGUUGUGGCUUCUCCAGCAUCUAUGCAGCUCAACAACCCAUGGUCCGGCGUUCUUUUGUAUAGCACCCCUCCACUAAGGAAAACCCAGCUUGAUAGAUGACGGAUUGCUCUCUUUUGGUCAUUUAUGGCCUGUACUAGGUACACAUCCAUCAUGAUAUAUUCCUUGUUGUCAUGAAACCAAGGCUCACCAUCAAGCUUGUCCUCCACCAUAUUACAGUAAUCAUGUUUUGUCAUGGACUUGUAUGUACAAUGGAUCAACAUAAGCCUUGUCUGGAUGAUGUAACAUUGAUGCCAAAGUGGCCAAAGCAUCAAAAACCUCAUUAUGAAUUCUUGGGAUAUGCCUGAACUCUACUAAUCGGAAUCGUUGACAAAGGUCGUGCAAGCAUUGUCGGUAUGGUAUGAGCUUCAAAUCCCGUGUUUCCCACUCCCCUUGAAUCUCUAGAAGGUCUGAGUCUCCCAAGACCAAGACUUCCUGGACACCCAUGUCUGCAGCUAACCUCAAACCCAAAAUGCAUGCCUGAUAUUCUGCCAUGUUGUUAGUGCAAUAGAAGCGGAGAUGAGCUAUAACGGGGUUAUGUUUCCCUAUUUUAGAAAUGAGUACUACUCUUCUCCCUACGCCUUUUAUGUUGGCAGCCUCAUCGAAAAAUAAUUUCCAUCCCGACUUCUUCCCCUGUUCCAUUUCAUCAACAUGCAUUACCUCAUCGUCCGGGAAGUAUGUCUGUAAAGAUUCAUAUUCUUCAUCUACUAGAUUCUUGGCCAAAUGAUCAACCAAUGUAUGCGCUUUUAUUGCAGUCCUGGUCGCAUAGACAAUGUCAAACUCGGUGAGAAAGAUUUGCCAUUUUGCAAGCCUCCCCAUGGGCAUGGGCUUCUAGAAGAUGUAUUUCAACGGGUUCAGGUGUCAGAUGAGGUAAGUAGUAUAUGAUGACAGGUAGUGUUUCAACUUCUGGGUUACCCAAGUUAGGGCACAACAUGUCCUUUUGAGAUGGGUAUACUUAACCUCAUACGCUGUAAAUUUCUUGCUAAGGUAAUAUAUGGCCUGUUCUUUCCUCCUGGUGACAUCGUGAUGACCCAGCAAACAUCUGAAUGAAUUUUCCAAGACUAUCAAAUAUAGGAUCAAGGGCCUUCCUGGUUCCGGUGGGACCAAUAUCGAUGGGUUUGACAAAAAUUCUUUUAUUUUAUCAAAAGCCUCCUGGCACUCCUUCGUCCAUCUAACCAUAGUAUCCCUUUUCAAUAGCUUAAAGAUGGGCUCUCAGGUUGUCGUGAGCUGAGCAACGAAUCGAGUGAUGUAAUUCAAUCUCCCCAACAAAAUCAUCACCUCUGUUUUUUUCCUAGGAGGCGGCAAUUCUUGUAUGGCUUUGAUCUUUGACGGAUCUAGUUCAAUGCCUCGAUGGCUGACUAUGAAUCCUAGCAACUUCCCAGAGGGGACCCCAAAUCCGCAUUUCAUAGGAUUGAGUUUGAGAUUAUACAUGCGGAGCCUCUAGAAGAAUUUCCUCAGAUCUCUGACAUGGUCGGAUUGCUUCCUGGAUUUUACAAUUACAUCAUCCACAUAGACCUCAAUCUCCGUAUGUAUCAUAGCAUGGAAUAUGGUUAUCAUCGCCCUCAUAUAGGUUGCCCCAGCAUUCUUCAGGUCGAAAGGUGUCACACCUCCUUUUAGACACUACAACCCCGGGGAAGGGCGUAGAUAAAGGGAGGUUUUCCAAUUAAAGGACGAUUGAUUUAUUUAAGAGAUUUCAGAGUCGCCACUUGGUAGAUCUAUGGUGUCCCAAGUCACCAAUUUAAAUCCUGAAUCGAGGAAGAUUUGACUCAGUUAACAGUCAACGAACCAGAAAUCCGGGUAAGGAAUUCUGUUAAACCGGGAGAAGGUGUUAGGCAUUCCCGAGUUCCAUGGUUCUAGCACGGUCACUCAACUAUUAUAUUCAACUUAAUUUAUCUAAUUUUAAAACAUGUCUUAACUUAUGCGCUUUUUAAUCUUAAACUGCUUUCGUUAUUAUUUUUAAAGAAAAUUGCAAUGUCAUUAAAACAUGUCCAGAACCACAUAACAUAAAUGCAUCCGUGGAUUUCGAAACAUUUCAACUUCAUGAGAUUUGGAUUUGGGUCACAUAAAUACGCACCCAAAUUUAGAAAGAUACAUUAUUUAACAAACGCGCUUAAAGAAAUUUCGCAUUUGAUUCUACGAGGGCCACGGAAAUUCGCUAAGUGGUGCACUUCGAGUUCUAAGGAUUAAAACAAUAGUUCAAAGAUGGUCGCGCAUUUGAAAUUUAUUUGGCAUGGCACAUCCUAAUUACUAACAGAAAAUUCGAACUAAGCUUUUAGGAUCUUUAACUACUCUUCACAAUUGAUCUUGUUGCUACUUAAAAUUACAACAUAUUAUUAACACCUAAUCAAUACAUUCCAAACGUACUCACGAAUUACUGCAACCAGGGUCAAAUAGGUGAACAACACCUAAAUAUAAACUAUCCAAAGUUUUAUCCAUGAAUUCGAGUGAGACAAGAAAGGUAAACGUCUUGGCUAAUUGUGCUUAACGAAACACUCUCAGGCAAUAAACACAUAUCCUGACAAAUCAACUAGUUUUAAAAGGUUCUACGACUUCAACUCAUCAUUUACUACAGUAAAGAAAAAUAGAAGAAAAAUAGAGAUGAACCGUUACAGUGAUAAUACAAAAGAAGACUGAACUCUUUCUUGGCUUUCGAUUUCAAUAAACGUAGACCAAGUUGGCUAGUGCAAAGUUAAACCAAAUCAAGGAGAGGUUAUUGAUAGGGAACACUAUAUACAAAAACUUGUUCUAUCAACCCUUCUAAGGCGAGUGAUGCUGGCCAAAUGAGUAAAAGUGCACAAAAUAACAAAUCUAGUGUUUCCAUGACUGUUCCAAUUACUAUCCAUUUACAUCCACAUGCAUGCGACUAACAUCAAUAUAGAAAUACAUCACUAAUUAUCUACAAUAAUCUAUGAGAUUUGAAGAUCAUCAUUCUAGCACUGGCUGUGACAGAUCUGGCAUUCAAUCACACAACAAAAUCAUCUCAAAUUGAGUAAUACAUGUAUCACUAAAGGAAAAUAAAAGAUAACAAAAAGAAAACUGGAGGACAGUAGCUCAGAUUGCUCAAUUCUCACUUGAACUCCAUAUUACAUGAAUCCAAGGUAGCAUACCUGGAUAAAAAAACAAAGGAAAAGUGAGGAACAAUAGAAGUUACAGCAGUAGAUCAACUCAAGUUCAAGAGCUUGAAUUCUCAAAGUAUGAAAACACUGGAAUAAUGGUUAUAAAACAGCUUGGUCCAGAAUUCUCUGAAAAAAAUCCACCUCCAUACCCCUCAAAAAUCAGAAGAUUUGCUCUGGCCACGCAAAGGGGCCUCAAAGUCCAGGUUUUAAGCAAUAAAAUAGUGGGUUUUUUGAUAUUUAUCCGCCUAAGAUUUUUUUUGUCUUUGGAAUUUUUUUUCCGUCCCCCUUUCUAAGGCAAGGCUUUAGGGCAUCCUUCAAAUUUUUAUAUCAACCGAGUCCUUAUUUUUUUAACUUGUGGACAAAGAUUUUUAGCUUAGAAUUGACUAACAGCCCCUACUAGAUAUUUCUAUUUCUGUUAUGUAAAGAUUCCCUAAGUUGAAUUCCCUAAACUAACCCUUAAGAUCCCUGUAUUACUGAAAAACUUCCUAAAUUAAACCGAACCUACAUUGCGCUUGAAUUAAACCAUAACAUUUCAGCUAACCUUAUUUAGGCUUCAAAAUUAGAAUUAUCUACGGAAUCAAAUAGUAUUGAUUUCAUUUUCAAACAAACCCAAUGAUUAGAACAGAAUCAACAUGAGGAGAAGAGAAAAAUCUACAGCACUGACAGACAGGAAUAGAACAUGUGGAUAUACUAGUCAAGUUAUCUAACUAAAAUAAAUAAGAAACGAGGAUUGAAGAUUUAUGCCUUAAAUAAUGGAGGAAAAACAAGAAGACUCAUCAGGCACAAAAACAAAAAACCAGAACAAAUUCAAAACAAGGCAGACAUUAAUCAAAACCCUAAAAUUCUAAGCUAUCUAAUCAUGCAGGCACAUAGUAAAGGAGGAAAAGAAAAAGAAAACUUACCGCUGAAAGGUUGAACCAAAUAGGACUCCGAUUUGAGGUCCGAAAUGAUGUGAACAUUUGUUAUUCGUCAAGAACAAACAAGUACAUUAUCUCGUGCCUCGAAUCGAUCUCUAGGCCAAGGAAUUUGGGAAAAAUGGAGCUAGUUAAGAUUCUGCUAUUUCUAUGAUUUGAAAUUCGAGAAACUCCGAGGAUGUUUGAAGGAAACUAAGUAGGGAUUUGGACUGAGGGAAAGACGGGGGUUAUGGGGUGUUAUUUUGAAGGUGGUUUGGAGGCGGCGGCGUCGUAGGCGACAGGGCGGCCGUGAUUUCAAAUCAAUAUUCGACAAGCUUGAAGGGGAUUCGAGGGAAUCUGAUGUUAGAUUCGUGAUGAGGAUAAAAAAGGGUGCUACGGUGUAAUUUUGGGGUUGUUUGAGGCAUCGCCGCCGGCGGAGGCGAUUUUCGGCGGUGGCAGACCACGAAGAGUGGUGGUGUUAGGGUUUUGUCAUUUGGACAAGGUACGAGGUUGGGUUGAGGUGGGGGUUUUGGAACAUUUAUAUACUCAUUACACCCCAGUUGUGCCACCAUUGAAUUAAAAGUUACGGGCGGCUGUGAUUAAAACGUUCAAACGACAUUGUUUUAAUUCAAACGGGAUAGACUGGAUAUUGGGGUUGGUUUGUAUCGGUUCUAUGUGGGUCUUUUGUGUAUUGGGCUGUUUCAAAUAAAAAAUGGCCCAAUUUAUUAUUUACAACUUCUUUUGUUUUGAUUUUCCAGGUUUUCUAUUCCUCUUUUUUUUUUCAUUUUCGAAAAUUACUAAAUGAAUCAAUAAUCCUAAACUUAUAUGCUAAUUGUCCUCUAUAAUUAUUAUCACAACUAAUUAAAACAAACGCAAAAUUACCUAAAAAUCAAAAUUAAAAUUAAAAGAGCAAAUUAAGCUAUAUUUUUUCCCCUUUUUUAUAAAAUGAUUAAAAUAGUGAAAAAAGAUGUGAAAUUAACUUCCACAAUACACGUUCCACAUAUUUUAUAUUUCCCAUUAAUUAAUAUAAAAAUAAGUAUGCACAAACGAAUGCAAACCAUUAACAGAAAAUGCAACGAAAAAUCAAUAAUUGCAAAUGAACAAGAAUUUUUUUUGUUUGAAUUUAUGGGAAUGAUUCAUGUAAGGAAAAAAUCACAUGCUCACAACUACCCCUCUUUUCCCGAAAACACGAAGCGCUUUCGUGCAAAGACAAGUGAGCAUACAUGAGUGAUCUUUUCCCAUUUAAAUAUUCCGUGAGAAGCAUUUCGAAAAGCUUGACCGCACCCUGCUUUUGAGGUUGCCUACAUAUCCCCAGCUAAAGAGGAAUCAGGUUAGUGUAGUUCAGGAUUAUUUGGUAGCAGGGAUACCAAAUUACGACCUCACUGUAGUUGCUGCUACUGCUACUGCUGCUAGACCUCCUUAUUACACCUUGUAAAAAUAAAGAGAAGCUAGACUAAGCUAUGAACUACGAGUUACAAAAGAACCUAUCUACGUCUUUAAUCUCGAUCUUGAACCUUGUUUCUUUGUUGCCUUGUAUUUCUUCCUGUAAACUCCUUGUUGCCUUGUGGACUUCUUGUUUUCUCUUUUUCUAUGUUUGAUGAGAUGUAUUCCCUCGUUUUUUAUGUGGGCGCCUGAUUACCAUAACCUAUAACUUUAAUAGUAUUCCCUUGUUCUAUAGGUGGGCGCCUUAUUACCAAAACUUGCAACUUGAAAAAUAUUCCCUUGUUCUACAAGUAGGCAUCUGAUUACCAAAACUUGUAACUUGAAAAAUAUUCCCUUGUUCUACAUGUGAAAAUGCCUGCUUACCAAAACAUGUAACUUGGAAACUAUUCCUUGUUCUACAGGUGGGCGCCUUACUACCAAAACUUGUAACUUGAAAGGUAUUCCCUUGUUCUACAGGUGGGAGCCUGGUUACCAGAAUUUGCAAUUUGAAAAAUAUUCCCUUGUUCUCCAGGUGGACGUCUGAUUACUGAAACUUGCAAUUUGAAAAAUAUUCCCUUGUUCUCCAGGUGGGCGCUUGAUUACCAAAACUUGCUAUUUGAAAAACAUUCCCUUGUUCUCCGAGUGGACGCCUGAUUACCCAAACUUGCAAUUUCAAAAAUAUUCCCUUGUUCUCAGGGUGUGCGUCUAAUUACCAAAAAAUAUAACUUAAAAAGUAUUCCCUUGUUUUACAGGUCAGUGCCUGAUUACCGGAACUUGCAAUUUGAAAAAUAUUCCAUUGUUUUCCAGGUGGGCGCCUGAUUAUCGAAACUUGCAAUUUAAAAAAUAUUCCCUUGUUCUCCAGGUGGACGCCUGAUUACCAAAACUUGCUAUUUUAAAAAUAUUCCCUUGUUCUCCAGGUGGGCACUGAUUACCGAAACUUGAAAUUUGAAAAGCAUUCCCAUGUUCUCCAGGUGGGCUCCUGAUUACCAAAACUUGCGAUUAGAAAAGUAUUCCCUUGUUCUCCAGAUGGGCGCCCAAACUUGCAAUUUGAAAAAUAUUCCAUUGUUCUCUUGGUGGACGCCUGAUUACUGAAACUUGCAAUUAGAAAAAUAUUCCCUUGUUCUCCAGGUGGAUGCCUGAUUACCGAAACUUGCAAUUUGAAAAAUAUUCCCUUAUUCUUCAGGUGGGCGCCUGAUUACCAAAACAUACGAUUUGAAAAGUAUUCCCUUGUUCUCUAGGUGGGAGCCUGAUUACCCAAACUUGCAAUUUGAAAAAUAUUUCCUUAUUCUCCAGGUGGGCGCCUGAGUACAAAAACUUGUAACUUGAAGAGUAUUCAUUUGUUCUACAGGUGGACGCCUGAUUACCGAAACUUGCAAUUUGAAAAAUAGUCUCUUGUUCUCCAAGUGGGCGCCUAAUUACUGAAACUUGCAAUUUGAAAAAUAUUGCCUGAGGAUGCUGCUUGGGCACCUGAUAACAAAAAAACAAGCAAAACAAAAGAAAUUUUUCUGCCCCAGUUUUGUUUCCGGGUGCAUCUGUAAUUUUUAAUCAAAUCCAAUGGCAACUUUAGAAUUAGGCUGAGUUCUCAAAAGGUAUUAUUUUUCACUAUGUUUUGAUAUGAGUUAUAUCUGCUGGGGAUCUGCUGGUGACCGGUGAGUAAAACUACCUGCCAUUAUCCAAGCGGGUCCUGACAACUCUUAAGUGGAUGACAAAAUGUUUGUGAUUGGGAUUAGUAUUAGUGAUACAUCCCAUUAUCACGGGGGGUCCUGACAACUCCUACGAUUAAAUCCCAUUGUCCAAGCGGGUCCUGAUGACUCUUGUUAGGGCAAUAUUUGUGCCCGCCUAUGAUACCCAUGCUUGCUUGUGUCUUAGGCUAAGUCCCAUUUUUCAGGAGGGUUCUGACAACUCUUAGCUGAAUCUUACUUCAACAUGCAAGUGAUUUUAUGCCCUUUGUUAUCCAUGAUUACCUCUUACCUUUGAAUAAGUCCCAUUUUCCAUGAGGGUCCUGAGGGUUUCAGAUUAAAUGCCAAUUUUAGCUUCCUGUUGUUUUUGCCGGGGUCCAUUUUUCAAACGAGUUCCAUCGACUCUUGUGGGAACGUGUUUGUGACUACCCACGCCUAUGCCUGUUUGAGUUUUAAACUGAGUCCCAUUUCAACUUCCAUGCCCCUUUAAACCCUCGGUUGUUUCUGCUGGGGUUUGCUACUUAAAGUUUUGUCCCAUUGUACUCUUGUUGUGGAGAAUGUUUAUGAUAGAUUAUGUUCCUUUUGAGUUUUAACUGGGUCCCAUUUUCAGAUGGGCCAUGAGGUUUUUAUCAUACCUGCCACGUGCUUGUCCUCCCAUGUGGGUGGCUUCACAUAGGAUCUUCUGAAAUUUUUCUACCCCUGUGUCGAUCAAAGAAAACUUGUCAGUUUGAAAAGUGGUGCUUAGCUUGCGGCAUUCUUGUUGGAAGCGGCCUCCCCACUGUCGCGUUCUGUUAUGUUCAAGUUUUCCCUGCCAAUGAUGAUUUGCCUGCGUUGGUUGGCUGAACCCGAACCUUUAUGUUCUUGAGAUUACUAGGUCAAUGUACUAUGCUCGGUUGACCUUAUUACACUUAUGGCUUUACUAUGCUCCCCAUCUUUAUGUUGUGCUCCUUCACUUAACCAAACUCUUUCCUCUCGAGUCAAUUUUAUCAUUGAAGCUCUAGUGAAUCCCUCCCCUUGUUGUUUCAAACUUUUGCUGCCUUUGUUACAUUUUUGGGUUUCAUGCGCUUCGUCCCUGUUGGAGCUGGUAAUAAGCUUUGACAUUUUUCUCCCAUUUGCUAAAACAAAAGACUUUAGAGUCUUGGAAGAAAAUGAAGUGCAAUGACUCAGAAAUGUUUUAGGGUAAAGAAUUCUGCAUUUAAUGACUGUUGAAGGGAAGAGAAAAGAAACAUAUCUGAGGAAAAGCAACUGGUUUUUCAUGAUCAUGACAUGCACUUCGGCCUAGUCAACUCAGUCUGUCCCGAUAACCAGCCUUCGGUAGCCAUGCUUUUGUUGUUGCAACAAUUUUAACCUAAUUCCUCUAGCCAAAACCUAACGUUUCUUGACUUACGGUGUUCUAAACAGAUUUCUACCAACAGCCCUCUCCCAAUUGUUCAUUCCUCGCCUUGCCUUCGCCUUAUGGUGCCCCUGAGGGUUUUUACCAACAAGGCUCUCUCAUUUUUAUUUCUCUCAACUCUCGUCGCCUUACGGUGCCCGUGAACGUUUUCACCAAUAAGAAUCUCUCAUUUUUAUUUUUUCUGCUUGAACUAGAGUGUUGUCCCAGGGUAUAGUCCAUCUCUCCUUGCUUGCCUCGGCAUUUCUUAAAAUACUGAUCAGAAGGUCUUUCUUUGGACCGUAAUGUAAGCUUUUGGAUAAGGUUAGAAAGAAAAGGGUAUAAAAGGCUCAAUUAUCACUCUUAUGGGUUCAAAAUUUACAACUUUCGGAAUCCAAUUUAUUGUAAAGAACGCAAUUUCUGCCCAAGUUUCUUUCUAGGGGCCUUUGGACUUUAUUGAAUAUGACCGAGCCGCGAGGCUGCCUACGUAUCCUUAAAAGGAAUCAGGUCAAACAUAGUUCCUAUCGAUUCCUUGCUUUGCCUUCAUUCUGUUGUUGUUUGUCUAUUUUCUUCCUCUUUUCAUUCUAUUUUCUUUCUCUUUUUUCUAUUCUUUUCUUUUUUUUCUUUUCUUUUUCUUUUUUUCUUUCUUUUUCUUUUAUUUCCUUUUCUUUUCUUUCUUUGUUUUGUUUUCUUUUUCUUCUUUUCUCUUCUUUCUUUGUUUUUCAUUUGCUCCUUUCCUUUCACUGCUUUCUUAUAAUCGCGUCUCUGACUUUUAUUACUGAUUCCGAAAGAGGGAUAUGAAAAGAAAAUAGUUGAAACUCAAAAGGAUUAGAAAUAGGUAAAGUGUUUAGAUAGUAUGCAUUCGUCAUUUCAAUCUCUAAAACAUGCCAAGUACAAACAAACAUUCCAAAUAUAGACAAUGAUUCACACAAAAUAAAUUCAUACAUAGUAUCUUUUGACUGCAUCUAAAUUGAUAGCCAUUUCUACUUAUUUUCCUUCUACAUCUGCUAGAUACAACGCCCCAUUGGACAACACUCUUGACACGACAAAUAGUCCUUGACAGUUUGGAGAGAACUUGCCCUUUGUCUCUGCUUGGUGAGGAAGGAUGUGUUUCAACACCAACUAACCCAUUUCAAACUUUGUUUGGACGCACUUUCUUGUUAUAUGCUUUGGCCAUUCGUUGUCGAUACAACUGGCUGUGAAACACAGCUGUCAAUAUUUUCACAUCAAUCAAACUCAAUUGCUCCAGACGAGUUUUAACCCAUUCUUCAUCGUCGAUUCCUGCUUCGGCCACAAUCCGUAAUGAUGGGAUAUCAACUUCAGCCGGGAUUACUGCUUCUGUGCCAUAUACCAAUAAAUAUGGGGUUUCCCCUACCAAAGUGUGGACGGUAGUGCGAUAGCCUAACAGUGCAAAGGGUAACUUCUCAUGCCACUUCCUGGACCCUUCCACCAUUUUGCAAAGUAUCUUCUUUAUAUUUUUAUUGGCUGCCUCGACUGCUCCAUUUGCCUUGGGACGGUAUGGGGUGGAAUUGCAAAUUACAAUGUGUAAUAUUGAACUGCUGACAUACCUCUUUCAUCAAAUGACUGUUGAGAUUUGCCCCAUUAUUAGUGAUGGGGGUCUUGGGGAUUCCAAACCGACAAAUAAUAUUUGUAUGUACAAAGUCGACCACUGCCUUCUAAAAUUUGCUCCUCCUUGGCGGUAUCUCCCUAGCACCAUGUUGUUCUAUUUGUUGUGACAAUGCACUUGACAAUAACUUUCAAAUUUCUUCAUUUGCAGUAGCAUUGCCCCAUUUUACAUUGGAAGAGCAUUUUAACUAUAUAAAAUGGUAAGGUACCUCAUUUUUUACCGACACUCUGCCUUCUAUCUAGGCACUAUUCAGUGAAUAGUAUUUCCGUCACUAUUCAUCGGCUAUAUCGCCGGAAUCCGGUUGUGAAUUGUCACAAUUUUGGUGUCACGACAUCCCCUUCUCGUUGCGAAUAAUCCCCAAUAGAUUUUUUACGCAAAUCAAUAGCCAAUUUCUCGAAAUCUUGAAUCUUUUUUUCCGCUUUUUUUUAGCAUCGACGAAAUUUUCAGAGCUAAUACUUUUCGAUGGAUCCUGGUUGACGUUCAUCAGCACUAUGGAAGCUGCACCCUCUCCCCAGCCUUGUGCUGUGGGAGAGGAUAAUCAAAACCAUUCGUAAAAUCAUACAGUUCAACAUUCAAAACAAACUUAUGCAUCGCAACUUGUUCGACAACAUUCUGCCGCAACAAACUCAAAUUUAGAACUCUGUCCUGUUACGUUUGAGAAUGGAAUUCCUACUGUUGAAUUCACAGUAGAGGAAGUGAAUUCCUUCACCAAGGAGGAGGGUCUUCAACAACAACUCUGUCCUGUUACGUUUGAGCAUGGAAUUCUUACUGUUGAAUUCAUAGUAGAUGAAGUGAAUUCAUUCACCAAGGAGGAAGGUCUUCAACAAGCAAUUGUGAUUAAAUUAUCGUAUGGAAAACCCGAGCUUCAGAAGCUGAGACAGAUUUUACCAAAGCAACUCGAUGUCAAAGGUAAUUGCAAUAUAGGACAGCUAGAAUAUCGGAACAUUCUGGUUAGAUUUGAUCUAUUUGAAGAUUUUGAUAAUGUCUUUUCAAGAACAACUGGUUAUAUUAAGGCAAAAGGAGACGAGUUCUUCUUUAGGACAUUCCGUAGACAAUGGGAUUUAAUCCACGUGAAGAAACGUCCAAGGCUGUCGUUUGGAUCUCUUUUCCUGAACUGCCAGCAAAUUUCUUCGCAAAAAAAUCCUUAAUGUCAAUCGCCGCUGCAGAAGGAAAGCCUCUAGCAGUAGAUAGGCUACUAAAGAUCGAACGAGACCUAGUACGGCACGAGUAAAAGUCUUGCUUAAUUUACUAGACAAACUUCCUAAGAAAAUAAAGAUCAAGAUUGUUGAUUUCAAAUCUGGAAAAAUAGUCGAAUACGACCAGAGGAUCAUCUUUGAUAACCUUCCAAAAUACUGCACGUAUUGCAAUCAUCAAGGUCAUGAUGUAAAAUCGUGCCAGUGGAAUACAGAUGAAUUGAAUGAACAAGCAUUUCAUGAUCGACAAUCAGAAGGACGGGACAGAUUGACUAAAUUAGGAGGGGAUGCCAGAGAGUACCUAAAUGCUAAUCUUGUAGCACGAAGCAGUGAAGGGGUUCGUCCCAAUGUGACUGUUAAUGCAGAACAAAAUAUUGCUUCUCUUUAAAUUGUUCCAGCUGAAGAACCUGAUAUUGCACAGAUGUGUCAAAAUCCAUCCACUCUUCCAGCUCACAGUGAACAGGUUCCUAAUAUGACUGCUGACCCAAGUCAAAAUAUCAUUUCUGGUCCAAUUGUUCCAGUUGCAGAAGUUCACUCAACAUCUAAUGCUGCUGCUAAGCCAAGUAAAAAUAUUGUUUCUGGUCCAAUUGUUCCAGCUGCAGAAGCUCACUCAACAUCUAAUGUUGAUAUUGCUCAGUUGUGUAAAAAUCCUUCUACUGUUACAUCCAAUUUGAAUGUUACCAGUGAACAGGUGGUGUCAAAUUUCGCUGGGGUUCUUCCUAAGGUCAAUGCUAAUGAAGGACAAAAUAUUGUUUCAGUUCCAAUUUCUCAAGCUGUAGAAGCCCAAUCAAUGCUGAAUGCAGAUACAACAGAGCUGUAUGAAAAUUCAUCGACUUGCUGGGGUUCUUCCUAAGGUCAAUGAUGAUGAAGGACAAAAUAUUGUUUCAGUUCCAAUUUCUCCAGAUGCAGAAGCCCAGUCAAUGCUGAAUGCAGAUACAGCACAGCUGUAUGAAAAUCCAUAUACUGUUUCAACCAAUUUGAAUAUGCACAGGCAACAGGUGGUGUCAAAAUUAGCUGGGGUUCUUCCUAAUGAGACUGCUGAUGCACCACAAAUUUCUGGUCCAAGUACUCCAGCUGUAGAAGCUCAACCAACAACGAAUGCUGAUCUUACACAGCUGUGUAAAAGGUUUUCUACUGUUACAUCCACUUUGAAUGUUCCAACUUGACAGUAGUGUCAAACUUGACUGGGGUUCUUCCUAGUGUGUCUGAUGAUGCAGGACAAAAUAUUGUUUCAGUACCAAUUGUUCCAACUGCAGAAUCUACUGUUACAUCCAGUUUGAAGGUUCCUAGUCAACAGUUGGUGCCAAAUUUGGUUGUUGCAUCUGCUGAGGCUGCACAUCACAAUGCAAACGGGAUUAAACACUUGCUGUGUGAGCAGCAACUUUUGUUACACAAACAUCCAGUUUGAAGAUUUCUAGUCAACAGCUGGUGCCAAAUUUGGUUGUUGCAUCUGCUGAGGCUGCACAUCACAAUACAAACAGGAGUGAACACUUGCUGUGUGAGUAGCAACUUUUGUUACACAAUAAUAACAGUAGCAAACAUACAAUGUUUUGUCAAGGAAGUGAUGCCAAAUUGGAGGUCCAGGAUCCUACCAGAGCUGUUACAAAUCAUAUUGUUUCCCCAGUUCAACUAGGGAGAACUGCAGAGGGCCAAAACUGCUGGAUGCUUCAAAAAUCUCUGCAGGAUCAGUUUUGAGCAUAACUAAGCAUGGCAGGGUCCAACAUCUUUCAGGUACAGCUGCUGAUGCUGUCUAUAAUACUGCCUUAGCUCAAGCAACCUCUGCUUUAGAAUCUACUGAUAAUCGACAACACAAAAGGGAAGAUGGACAAUGGUCAUCGAUGGAAAACAAAGCAGUAGCACCAAAAUCCAAAAAUAAAAUUCAGAUCGCAGAAAACAAUUCAACUUUACCUUCAAUUUCAAACUCAUUUGACGUUCUUGCCAAUGUCAAUGAUGAUGAAGGAAAAUUCUUGGGCGAAAAUUUGCAGAUUUGUGACAGCCAAAAUAGCUCAUAGAAUACAGAUGCAAAAGAAUACAUCUCACGUUACUGGUACAAAUAUUCAAAUACAGUCCAAACUUCAAAGCUCUCCAACCACAUCCACUCCUCCUAUGAACAACAUUGUUAAAGAUUAUGGGGAACCUUCAACUUCAGUUAUCAAAAAAGGUUUUCAACCAAAGAGGAGGGACUUGGUCAUUAAAUCGAAACUGUGGAAAGACCAACGGGAUCAUGAUGAUGAGGAGAGCUGGGGGGAAGGACUCGCUGGUUUUUCAUGGGAAGAAGAAGAUCAAGAAUCUGAUCAGGAUAGUACUAUUGACGACAAUGAUGAUUCAGUCAAGCAAAAUGUUCAAGGGAAAACUGCAACUAAGAAUAGUCGUGCAAUUUUGCGACACACAGCAACACCAAACAGUAGCUUAAACCACAAUGCUCCAGUUUUUGUUCCAAGAAAUAAUGCAAAAGCAGUUAUUUCAAGUGUAGCGACAUCAAAAUUCAACCAGAAUGAAACAUCACAUAAUCGUCACUAAGCUCAACCAAAGCAUCAGUUGGAGAUCGAAGCGCAAAUGUGUUGCCACCAACUAGCCAGAAUCAGGAUACAACAACAGAACCACUCUCUAAUUUAGAGGACUGGAAAUUUUCUGAUGCCAUAACGCAAACUCUGCUUUCAAACCAGAAUCAACAAAGGAAUACAGAAGCACGUUCACAGGAGGGACAGCUCGUCCCAACUGUUUCGGUAAUAUCGUCCGAUGAAAGACAAUAUUUUGGACGCGAUGGAAGACAUAGAUAUGAAGAAGAGGAUAUCCUAAAGCAAUGCCAAGCAGACAUUUAAAAAAAUGGAGAUUUGUCACCAUUGCAUAGCGCAAGAAAUAAGAAGUCUCGUCAAAGGGAAAGAAGUUGGGACGGCAGGAUGUUAAAAGACGUAAACAUAAGGAGGCCCCCAAUGCGAAAUGCAAAACAAAAACAGAACGCUCAAACAAUACUUUCAAAAAUCCAAUCGCCCGAAGAACAAAACAUGAAUUUUGUGUAAACAUAUCGAGGCCCCCAAUGCGAAAUGCAAAACAAAACAGGUCGCUCAAACAAUACUUUCAAAAUCCAAUCUCCCGAAGAACAAAACAUGAAUUUUGAAGUCCUUUUUAAAAUUUGUGUGGAAGAAGACAACAUAUUACAAAUCAAAAUUUUCACAACGAAAGGAAAAGAGGGCAACUUUAUGGUUUCUUCAUCUGUUUAUUUUACCAUCACAUUAGUAUUAUUCUAUGUAAUAUCUUCACAAAGCAUGUUAUAAACUCUAUGAUGAUCAUUCAAUUCUUACUUCUUGCGAGCUCUUUCUUUUUACAUGCUUGCUAAUCCAGAAGGCUUUAUUUGCAUCAAUACGAUAGCUAAGGUAAGGUUUAUGCCAGCUGUGUUAUAUGGGUAACAUUACCGGUGUAAUCCGCCUUAUUUUAUUUCUCCUAUUUGUUGUAAUUUUUCUUUUCCUAUUAUUUAUGAAAAUUAACCCUAGGCGAUUUCCUAGUGGACCCAAAACAAAAAAAAAAGACCACUGCCUUCUUAGUCACUAUCUUGAAGGUUUUAGCUUCAACCCAUUUGGUGAAGUAGUCAAUAGCAACCAGGAUGAACCUGUGUCCGUUAGAGGCUGCUGGCUUGAUAGGCCCAAUGACGUCCAUGCCCCAAGCAACGAAAGGUCAUGGUGUAGACAUCGUAUGCAAUUCAGACGAUGGGGAGUUAAUCAAGUCUCCAUGCACCUGACAUUGAUGGCAUUUGCGCACAAAACUGAUACAAUCCCGUUCCAUGGUGAGCCAAUAAUAUCCUGCCCGGAGAAUCUUUUUUUGCCAAAACAUAUUCGCUCAUGUGCGGCCCGCAGACUCCUGCAUGCACCUCAUUCAUUAUGGUUGUAGCCUGCCCAGCAUCUACGCAUCUUAGCAAUCCAAGAUUCGAUGUUGUUUUGUAUAAUAUCCCUCUGCUGAAGAAGAACCCACUUGACAAGCGAGAGAUUGUUCUCUUCUGGUCACUUGUGGAUUGUUCUGGGUACACACCUAUCCUGAUAUACUCUUUGAUGUCGUGGAACCAAGGCUCACCAUCAUGCUCUUCUUCCACCAUGGUUCAAUAAGCAUGUUGAUCAUGAACCUGGAUAUGUAUUGGGUCAACAUAAGUCUUAUCCGGAUGAUGUAAGAUUGACGCCAAGGUGGCCAAAGCAUCAGCAACCUCAUUAUGGAUUUUGGGGAUGUGCCUGAAUUCUAUUGACCGGAAUCGAUCACAAAGAUCAUACAGGCAUUGCCCGUAUGAUAUGAGAUUUAAAUCUCUUAUUUCCCACUCCCCUUGAAUUUGGUGUACCAAAAGGUCCGAGUCUCCCAAGACCAAGACUUCUUGGGCACCUAUGUCUGCUGCCAACCUCAUAACCAAAAUACAUUCCUCAUAUUCUGCCAUAUUGUUGGUGCAAUAGAAGCUGAGUUGAGCUGCGACUGGACAAUGACGCCCUUCUUCAGAAAUGAGCACUGGUCCUAUCCUGACGCCUUUCAUGUUAGCAGCCCCAUCGAAAAACAAUUUCCAUCCCGAUUCCUCACCCCAUUCCAUUUCAUAAAUAUGCAUUACUUCCUCAUCCGGGAAGUAUGUUUUUAAUGGUUCAUAUUCUUCGUCUAUCGGAUUGUCGGCUAAAUGAUCAGCCAAUGCAUGUGCUUUCAUUGCAGUCCUAGUCACAUAGACAAUGUCAUAUUUACUUCAUCGAAUAGUUUUUCUAAUCCCUUAUCUAAAUCCCCAUCCACAUCAAUCAGCGGACCGGGAAUCUCUGGCACUGGGCACUUGCUAGUACUGAGCUUGACAAACGAUUUGGACAACCUUGGGAUGGGCUUUGGGAGGGCCUAAACAUUUGCCAUUUCGCGAGCCUCCCUGUGGGCAUGGGCUUCUGGAAAAUGUACUUCAACAGGUCCAGACGUGAGAUCAGAUAAGUGGUAUAUGAUGACAAGUAAUGUUUUAACUUCUGGGCUACCCAUGUCAGGGCACACCUUUCAAGAUGAGUAUACAUAACCUCAUAGGCUGUAAGUUCCUUUCGGAGGUAGUAUAUGGCUUGUUCUUUCCUCCCAGUGACGUCGUGCUGGCCCAACAUGCAUCCAAAUAAGUUGUCCAAGACUUUCAAAUAUAAGAUCAAGGGCCUUCCUGGUUCCGGCGGGACCAACACCGGUGGGUUCGACAAAUAUUCCUUUAUUUUAUCAAAAGCCUCCUGGCACUCUCACGACCAUUUAACCACAAAAUCCUUUUUCAACAACUUAAAGAUGGGCUCAGAGGUUGUCGUGAAUUGCGCAAUGCAUCGACUGAUGUAAUCUUUAUCUUAUCAAAAGCCUCCUGGCACUCACCCAUCCAUUUCACCGCAGCAUCAUUUUUCAAUAGCUUAAAGAUGGGCUCACAGAUGAUUGUGAGCUGAGCAAUGAAUCGACUGAUGUAAUUCAAUAUCCCCAAUAGAAUCAUCACCUCUGUUUUGUUCCUCGGUGGCGGUAGUUCCUGUAUAGCUUUGAUCUUAGAUGGAUCUAGUUCAAUGCCUCGUCGGCUGACUAUGAACCCUAGCAACUUCCCUGAGGGGACCCCAAAUGCGCAUUUGCCGGGUUGAGAUUGAGAUCAACUUCCCUGCAGAGACUCUAGAAGAAUUUCCUCAGAUUUUUGACAUGAUCAGAUUGCUUACUGGACUUCACAAUUACAUCAUCCAUAUAGACCUCAAUUUCAUUUUGUAUCAUAUAGAAGAUGUUUGUCAUUGCCCUCAUAUAUGUUGCUCCAGUGUUUUUCAAACCAAAAGGCAUGACCAUAUAGAAAUAUGUCCUCCAUGGCGUGAUGAAUGUUGUUUUCUCCGCAUCUUCUUCAUCCAUUAAGAUUUGGUGGUAACCUACGUAGCAAUCCACGAAUGGCCCGAUCUCGUGCUUAGCACAAUUGUCAAUCAAUAUAUGAAUGUUCGACAGUGAAAAGUUGUCUUUUGGACUUUCUUUGUUAAGGUCCCGAUAAUCGACACACACCCUAGUUUUACCAUCCUUCUUUGGCACGGGCACAACAUUGGCUAACCAGGUGGGAUAUUGUAUGACCUGGAUAACUUUUGCCUCAAACUGCUUAGUCACUUCCUCUUUGAUUUUCACGCUUACGUCAGUUUUAAACUUUCUCAACUUUUGUUUGAGGGGAGGAAAGGCUGGGUCAGUGGGAAAUUUGUGAAUCACCAAGUCAGUGCUCAAUCCGGGCAUAUCAUCGUAAAACCAUGCAAAGACAUCUUCGUAUUCAAGCAGUACUUCAAAUAUUUCUUUCCUAAGUUGUAUCCAGAUGGACACUUAUUUUGGUUUCUCAAACAUUACCCGGGCUCCCUAAAUUCACUGUCUCUGUGUCGUUCAUGUUUGGUUUUGGUUUCUCCUCAAAUUGGCACAACUUUUUACUAAUUUUAUCCCAUGCUCCCUCCUCGUCGUACUCUGGUUCAUCCUCAUGUUCUAUUUCUUGAAUUACUAUUUCUGAACUAGAUCGAUUUUUAAGACUUGGCCGAAGAGUCCUUAUGUAUGUCAGAUCAUUAGAACAAACAUAUAAAUAACUGUACAAGCCUCGACCAUAUUUACCUCAUUGAACAUGCUUUCUAAUCCCUUAUCCAAAUCCCCAUCCGCAUCAAUCAGCGGACCGAGAAUCCUUGGCAUUGGGCACUUCCCAGUACUAGGCUUGACAAAUGAUCUGGACAACCUUGGGAUAGGAUCUGGGAGGGCACAGGCCCUCUGCUUUAACUUUCUAGCUCGCCUUAUGUUCGCAGCUGUAGGCCUGAACCCUAGACCAAAAGUGUCCAGAUUUUGGGGAGCGACACUGGUUGCACGAUGCCUUGCAGCGAAGCACCCAAUCCUUUGCCGGGCAUGAAACAAUUCUUUAACAUUUCUGAAGCUACCAUGACUGAUGCAUUUGCUAUCUUUGGAGUUGUGACAACCUCACCUUCCUGGACCUUCUCCACUGAUACCAUGUCGAAUACUUGGUAGACCCAUGGACCUUUGCUGUCUUCAAAUUUAAUAAAAGGUACGAUAGCAUCACCUGAAACACACUGAUUAUCUUCACCGUGUACCAUAAUCUCUUGUCUUUCUCAUUCAAAUUUGACCAUCUGGUGCAAAGUAGAUGGCACUGCCUUGGCUGCAUGAAUCCAGGGCCUUCCCAAUAACAGAUAAUAGGAGACUGAUACAUCCAGCACUUGGAAUUCCAUAAUGAACUCGAUGGGCCUUAUAGUUACUUCUAGCACUAUAUCCCUUACGGUGUCUUUACCUCCGUCAUUAUGUCAUAAGAAACUACCACGUCCAGCACUUAAAAUUCCAUGGUGAACUCAACAGGUCUUAUUGUCAGUUCCAGCACUACUUCCCCUACUAAGUAUUUGCCUUUGCCAUCGAACCCCCGAACACAAAUAUUAUUCUUGUGGACUCUUUCAUUUUCCACCUUCAACUUGAUCAAUGUGGAGAGCGAACAAAUAUUUGCACUGGACUUGUUGUCAACUAGAACCCGGGUGACCACAUAAUCUUCACACUUCACUGUCAAACAAAAGGGCCCUAUUAUGCUCAGUGCCCUCUAUGGGAAGCUCAUUGUCAGAGAAAUUGACCCGAUUUAUCUCGAAUAUAUUGUUUGCAAUCUUCUCCAAAUGAUUCAUUAUUAUCUUGUUAGGGACGUGGGCUUUAUUCAAAAUCUUCAUUAGCGCCUGGAGGUGUUCGUCUGAAUGGAUUAAUAAGGACAAUAAGGAGAUUUGAGCUGGUGUUUUCCUCAAUUGCUCUAUGAUGGAGUAGUCCUGCAUUUUCAUNNNNNNNNNNNNNNNNNNNNNNNNNNNNNNNNNNNNNNNNNNNNNNNNNNNNNNNNNNNNNNNNNNNNNNNNNNNNNNNNNNNNNNAUCAACCCUCGGCGGUGCUCAUCUGAGUGGAUUAGUAAGGAUAACAAAGAGAUCUGGGUCGGUGUUUUCCUCAAUUGUUCUAUGAUGGAGUAGUCCUGCAUUUUCAUUUUCUUCAGGAAUUCAUAUGCCUCUUCUUCUGAUACAGCUUUCUUCACCGAUUCUGGGUUGUCCUUGGGGAUCCUACUUUUCCUUAAUUCCUCAGUGGCGAAGUAUCUCCCUGAUCGAUUCAAACCCCGGGCUCCACGAACUUCCUCCCUAAUUUCCUUCCCUUUGUACAUCACUAUUACUUGUUCAUAUCUCCAAGGAACUGCUUUGUUGUUGACAACUGGCGGUUGGACUACUAGUUUUACAAUGAAAGGAUCUAUUCAAGCACCUUCUACAACUACGACAGGUUCCCUAGAGCUUCCCUAUGUACUAUCACUUUUUCCUUUUCCUGUAUUGGUGAGACCAUUCAUGAUGACCUCCCUUGAACCACAACAAGUUUGCUAUCUAUUCCCUUCAUCUCGAUCACAGACUUCUCAUUACUCAUACUCUCUGUUGGCUAGACUUUACUGGAUUUAAUCAUCAUUGCCGUUUGUGAGGGCUUUUUAGGCUCUCCCCCUUCUCCACUAUCUCAAUCACGUUGGUCUCAUGAUGUGCCGGCAAUGGGAUUUUGUUAAUGUUAGGUGCCUCUUGAGCAUCUACUUCGAUCCGGUGGGAGUCAAUAAGUUCCUGGAUAGCGUUCUUCAAAUACACUUUUCGGUAUCAUGUCCGGGGGCACUAGAAUAGUAUUCACAGCUAACUAGAUCGAUAUGUCCAUCAUAUAAGUCAAAUUUAGGCAUCUUAGAACAUGGAGGCAACUGCAAGAAUGGAAAAAAAAGGUCCUUGAAUGCUACACUCAUCUGGCCACCUAACCCUCGCAUGUCCCUGAACUAUUGUUCUAAACGUUUGACCUUUCUGAGCACCUCUUCUUGCUCUGGAUUUUUUAUUAGAGUUUCAACUCUCGCCGGGAUUUCGAAAUGGGGAGCAUAGGAGUAUGGUUCAUGGGCUUCGUAAGCAGGUUCUGGUAGGUAUUAUUAGUUGUCGUAAGCUUGAAGCAAGGUCUCACUUGAUGAUCUAUGGAGUGUGGGAAAAGGAGGUGCCACAUAAAUAGGAGCAAUUGGUGGAUGGGGCGAGGAGCGGCUUUGGGUAGUGGAGCUAGGGGUAGUUGAGAGGUCGUACCCUGGUGCUGCGAGUAGACAGGAAAACUUAGGGGUAGAUCAGUGGUGGAAUUGUCAUGAGCUUGGGCUAGUGGUGGGAUAAAGGUUGGGUUAGCAGGAUAGGUUGGUGGUAGCUGUCCUCUUGCCCAUGCCUGGUACAUCUCAGCCAUUUGGUGUUUCAGUUUGUGCAUUUCCUCCUUCAUGGCAUUAACGUCCAAUUCCUUUACCUCUUUCGAGGGUAAAUAAUGUUGACAUCGGCUUCCUGAUUGGCCAUGACUUGCUUGCUCUUAGAUCGCGUGUUGCAGGAGUGGGUUGCCAGAAUGCGUGUCUGAUAUGAUACAACAACACCAAAACUUGUUAAUGGUUAGGUUUCGACAUGUAAGCGACCACAUAUGUGGGGAUGAAUGCACCUAAACAAUUAUUAGUUACUACUUGAAUCAGUUGCUAGCGUCAUCCCAGCUUUCCCUUUUCUUUAUUUGCAAUGCCUUUUCUUAGCUUUAUCCUCUUACUCUCUCCUGUUUUUCCAUCUCUCCUAUUUUCCCAUUGUUUGUUUCUUGCUUUCCCCUCUUUUCCUUUGCUUUUCUCUCCUACUCUCCCCCUCUUUGUUUCUUUUAUCUUUUCUCUUUUUUGUUUGGUUACAGUCGAAUCCUAUGUAGAUUGCCUACGUAUCAUGACCCCGUAUGAAUCAGACCAAACGUAGUUCUGGCAGACGAAAGUGAAGAAAUAAUAAAACAUUUUGGAAUUUUCAAUUUUCAUAAUAAAACAAACUUUGGUUAUAAAGCCUCGAAAAACCGAUAGAUUUAAACAAGAAACUAACAGACUUCAAUGAAAGAUGAACUGCAGACUCGAAGAACAACUAAACUACAUAAAAGAAAAUAUAGACUCCAAGACAAACUGACAGACUUUAUUGAAAGGAAAAUACAGUCUCAAGAAAUCACGAAUACAUUAGGGCUUCAAUUGACCGUGAGGCAUCAUUCGGCCUUGCUGCGGGUCGACUAGCUAAAUCCCCCUAGAGAUGAUGGAGAUCAUCCAUUACGCGGUGAACAAAAAGCAUCCCAUGCAAAGAACAUAGAUCUAGGCAUAUCAUCAUAGCUGCUACACUUCAUUGCAAUGUAAUAGGCGAUCCUUCUGAUUCUCUCUCGUAUGACAACCUUCUCUUGCAAUAAGCGCCCAAUCAUCUCAGUUCUUGCUCCCAAAGUUUGUUCGGCUACCUGAUUCUGCUCUUGUAGCUGUUGCAAAUCCAAUUCGAAUUGCGCCAAUGCUGUGUAACAAUGUUCCCUUUCAAUUUUGAACUCUUUUGCCUGUUUGCUCAUUUUGUUUUCUGAGACGAUGACCUUUUCUUUAAUCCUGUAACCUCACCGUCAAACUCUUCUUUUAAUUGCUUAACCAGGCGUGCUUGUUCUGGCGCAUUUUCAGCCAAUUUUUUUCGAGCACUGGCUAGUUCCGUUUAUACUUUGUUCAAAUCAAAAUUGUAGUCAUUCACCUUCUCUCUCAAGCUAUCUAUAAGUUUUAUAUCCUUGGUACUUCAGACGGGGUUUUCCGUUGCUACUUUCAUUUUCUGAAUUUGGGCCCCAAGGGCCUCAUUUUCUUUGACCAGUUUAUUCUUUUCGCUCUCAUCUGCCUGCAAAUCUUUCUCAAAUUGAAAAUUCAUGAAUUGCUUCUCCAAUUUGCCUAUUGUAGCCCUAUACUCGCAUUCUUUAACCAACCAGUCCCACUACUCUUGCGAUGCUUCGACCAAUUCUUUGAAAUAGGGCCUCUUGGCAUGCCUCUCGAACUCAAUCUCUCUCCUGUACCAAGCAAGCUAUCCUGGCAACACUUCUCCUCUACACCGAUCUCGUACACAAGUGUUUGCUAUUAGUUAUUGGCAUUCAUUCUAAAUUUUGCGAACUGUUGCUUCGGGGAACUGACCAUCAGGUCCAAUCUGACUACCCGGAUAUUGAGAUCUUCAUUUCUUGGCACUAUCUGGCAUCUCUCAAGCUGUCUCAAGAUCCGAUGCGGGCAAUAAGGCUAGAUGCUCCAAAGACCCAUCAGAAGGAAGUGAGGCUCCGUUGCUGGCAUGUAUAUGAUCUCGUUCAAAGACAACCAUCCCAGCGUCCACUCUAUUUGACCGGCAGUGAGGGACCGAAAGUAAGAUAUCCAUCCUAUUACUCCUUCAGGCAAACAGAGACCUUUAAUCCUUGUGUAAAAUUUCUCUAUACAAGUUUUCUCUGUUGACUCAUAGCUCAUACACUAGGGACGGUGGCAUAGAUGCUCGGUCAUUCACAUUUGCAACAAUAGAUUGCACCCCUCAAAGAAAUCUUUCCCGGUCCUGCAAGCUAUGAGAGCACGAAAGAUCUCAGCUACUAUCAUAUGUGUGAAUGUGCUCUUGGCUUGGGUGAGUAAAGUGCUGACAACCCCUGCUAUUCGUAUGUCGAUGUUCUUGUCUUUCCUCGGAAACACCAAGAGCUCUAGGAAAGCCACCAUAAAAGCGAAGCAUCUAUGUUCUUCCCAGUUAACACUGUUUCCUUUGCUACAGAUUUUGUUCUCUGGUUUGUUGAACCCCCUAUAUGAACAUACCUGCUAUAUAGGAAUGAAAAGGUACAAAAACCUACUGCCAAGUCGAGGUCGUGUACCACUCUGCUUAUUUUUAGGGAGUCUAGGAAUUUGUGCACAACUACAAUUCUUGGGGCAACCAAACAUGUGUGUCUCAAAGAAAGCUCAGCAUCCCCAAUGUACCCGGUUAUUUCAUCCAAGGUCGGGGUAAGUUCAAAAUUUGAGAAGUGGAACAUAUUGUGCGCCGGGUCCCAGCACGUGACCAAUGCCCUUAUGAUGUCUCCCUAGGGUAUAAUCUCCAACAGUCCGGGAAGGCCCCCCAAAUAUUUCUUGACCUCUUCUUGCCCUUUUCUACCUAAAUCAUUCCACCACAGCCACAACUCCAAAGGGAUUCUGCUUAUGAAUGAGAAAGGUUCGUUUUGAAUUGUGCUCAUCUUGCACAUUUACUAAGGUGAUUUAGUAACUUAUGAUUUCAUUCCAUUUGACACCAAAAUCAAAAUUGACCCCCUUCUUUUAUAACGGUUUUUUUUUCUAAAACCAAAAACCCAGCUUUGCAGAUACGGUCUUUCAGCACUUUCGGGGGAAGAUUUUAAGGCUAUGCCCGCUAAAUGGCCAAAAUAAAAUAAAAACAAGGGUGGCCGUUUGGGCAAAAUCAGCCUUCUGGUGUCCCUUUCGAGAACAUUCGGCUAUUCUUAACAACAACGGCAUCACUUUAUCUAUUUACAAUAAAAAAACAACUAUAUUUCAUUUUCGGCUAUUUUCCUUAUUAUUACUUUUUGCAAAGAGUGAAGUUGGAUCCGACGAGGGUUGCUUUCGUAUCUCACACCCUGUAAGAAUCAAACUAUUGUAGUUCGGGCAAACAAAGCUAUUUUUGAGACUUUUUCUUUCUUUUAUUCUUAUUUUUCCAUUUCAUUAAAAACAAAACUAUUUUGAAAACAAGGUUUUUCUCUUUUUCUUGGGCGAAUAAAACAGACUCUCUUUUUUUGCUUUUUUUUGUUCAUUUUUUUAUAAAAUUCAGCAGAGCUUCGGCAGUAUUUGGACAUUGGUUUUUCUAAAAUAGGUGAUUAACUCUCCUUACCCCCCUAAAAUACGGUCAACAUGAGAAUUCUAAGUCAAUAGUUAAUGGUUCCGAUUUUCAGAAAUUUGAAUUUUGGAUUUUGUGACUNNNNNNNNNNNNNNNNNNNNNNNNNNNNNNNNNNNNNNNNNNNNNNNNNNNNNNNNNNNNNNNNNNNNNNNNNNNNNNNNNNNNNNNNNNNNNNNNNNUCACAUUUGAUUUUUCAAUAGAAAGGUAAGAGAAAGCUUUGAACAUUAUGAAUUUGGAGAUAGANNNNNNNNNNNNNNNNNNNNNNNNNNNNNNNNNNNNUUGAACAUUAUGAAUUUGGAGAUAGACUCAAUCGAAAUUGAAAGGAUGAAUCAAACCCAAUCAAAAGGGAAGAAGGAUUAGGAUUUCUUUGACUUUUAGUAAAAAUUAAGGAAAACAGAACUCAAGGUGCAAGUACAAUAAAAAAAGCAGUUCAAUAAUCCGGGAAAGUUUUCAUCUAUUCCAGAAUAAAUAAAUGCACAAGUAAGAUGCAUCAGGAUGGUCCGUUAUUUCGGGUUCAUCUGUCCUAGACGAACCCAACCCUUGUGUUGAGCCCCCUAAGUCAAAUGCAUGAUGCAGAUAAGCAUUCCUACUAGGGACCCGUCAUGAGGUUAAGUUAUUCUAUGUCUAAAACCUGGGUAUUCGUUCUAAACUGUGUGCCCAAGUGGACAACUUGAGUCGAGGAGGGGGCUACGUACCGGGGACCCGCAAGAUCGUCCGGCUUAGUAACUUGUCUGAGCUUCUUUCUUAUUUUAGUUUACUCAAGGCUUUUCAUCCUUCUUGCUAUCUCAUCUUGUUCAGGCACUUGAGUCGAGGAGGGGGCUACGUACCGGGGACCCGCAAGAUCGUCCGGCUUAGUAACUUGUCUGAGCCUCUUUCUUAGUUCAAGGUAUGACACUAACAGUUCAAGGUAUGACGCUAACAGAACAGGGAGUCUCAACCAGUGAGCACAUCCCUGCAGAUAAGAAGAGAAGGGUCUCGUAACAGUUUAUAUGUACAAUCCAAAUAAUACUAAAGCGGUAAAAUAACAUUUAACACAUUGGGUACAAUUAUGCAAUAAAAUCUGAUAACAAUAAGUCUAAAUACAACAAUUAUUUAAAGUUCGAAUUCUUGAACCCUGAACCAGAGAUUCUGGGUUAGUUCCUCAGUAGAGUCGCCAGAGCUGUCGCACCUCCUUUUGGACACUAGAACCUCGGCGAAGGGCAUAGAUAAAGGGAGUUUUUCCAAUUAAUGGACGAUCGAAAUGGGAUUUAUUUAUUUAAGAGAUUUCAGAGUCGCCGCUUGGGAGAUUUAUGGUGUCCAAAGUCACCGAUUUAAAUCCUGAAUCGAGGAAGAUUUGAUUUUGUUAACAGUCAGCGAACUAGAAAUCUAGGUAAGGAAUUCUGUUAACCUGGGAGAAGGUGCUAGGCCCUCCUGAGUCCCGUAGUUAUAGCACGGUCGCUCAACUAAUAUAUUCGGCUUAAUUUAUCUGAUUUUAAAACAUGUCUUAACUUAUGCGCUUUUUAAUCUUAAACUGCUUUUAUUAUUAUUUUUAAAGAGAAUUGCAACGUUGUUAAAACAUGUCUCGAACGAUGUCACGUAAAUACACCCGUGGAUUUCGACACAUUUCAACUAUGUUGAGAUUUGGAUUUAGGUCACAUAAAUGCGCACUGGAAUUUAGGAAGAUACAUUAUUUAACUAACGAGCUUAAAGACAUUUCGCGUUUGAGUCUACGAGGGCCACGAAAAUUCGCUAAGUGUUGCACCUCGAGUUAUAAGGAUUAAAACAAUAGUUAAAGCGAUGGUCAUGCAUUUGAAAUUUACUUGGCACGGCACAUCCUAAUUACUAACAGAAAAUUCGAACUAAGAUUUUAGGAUCUUUAACUACUCUUCACAAUUGAUCUUGUUGCUACUUAAAAUUACAGCAUAUUAUUAAAACCUAAUCGACACAUUCCAAACGUACUCACGAAUUAUUGCAACCAGGGUCAAAUAGGUGAACAACGCUUAAAUAUAAACGAUCCAAAGUUUUGUCCAUGAAUUCGAGUGAUAGAAGAAAGGUGAACGCUUCGGAUAUUGUGCAUAAACAAACACUCUUAUGAAAUUAAACACAGAUCCUGACAAAUCAACUAGUUUUAAAGGGUUCUUACGACUUCAAUUCAGCAUUUACAAAAGUAAAGAAAAACGGAAGACAAAGAGAGAUGAACCACAAACUCAUGACAUAAGCCAAGACUCAACCACCUCCUACCUUACAACCCUAAUACUCGCCAUCCACGUGUUCCUAUCAAGUGUCAUGUCCUCAGAAAUCUGAAGCCUCGCCAUAUUCUACCUAAUCACCUCUCUUCAGUACUCUUAGGCCGCUCUCUACCUCUUCUCAUGCCCUCCACAGUUAGUUGUCCAUACCUCUAAAACAAUGCUAAUUAAUUUGUUAUAAUAUGGUAGAUUAGGUUGAUUGUAUACACUAACCAUGUACAUAAAUUAAAGAUAUUGUAACAGUCCAGCCCGCUAAUAAUAAUAUUCGUUUUGGGUCUAAGCCGUACGAGUUUAAAAUACAUCACUAGAAUUUAAGGCUUAUUAGUUUAUAUACCAAGCAUUUCUUGUGUUUUACCGACCUGGGACUCCUUCUCACCUCUGGGCUGUUACAGAUACUUACUUGUACAUUGUGAUGUACACAUUUUAUAUCAGGCACCCAUUUUCUAUUACUUUCGCUCCGGGGGAUGACUAUCUCAGUAUCCAUAUUCGAACUCUCGGUGAUUGGACCAGCAAGCUCAGAGCUGUUUUCUCAGAGGUACGCAUACUUUAAAAAAAAAGAGGCAAGUAUACUAUAUAUUAUUAGAAUAUAUUGUGUGUAUGUUUUUAUUAUUGGUAGAAUAUUCCUUCAUUAUUGUACAUUCCUAUAGUUGGUAGGAUUUGAUUUCUUUCAUUAUAGUACAGUCCUAUAGUUGGUAGGAUUUGAUACCUCUCUGUACUCUAUAUAUACUUUUGUGAGCAAUACGAGAAAAUCAAUUCUCCCAAAACUCUCUACAUGGUAUCAUACGCACGUGGCUUAUCGCCAAAGAAACCCUAAUUCUUCUCUACCCGCGUCGCUGCCGUCGCUGGACUAAUCGGCAGCCCGCCGCCGCCGACCUUCUCGGUCCACCGUCUCUCUCUCCGGCGUCUUGCCGCGCCACCGCUGCACUAACUGGCAGCUCUCUCUCUUGACAUCGAUCACCGCCACCUCUGCCUCGCGCUUCAUGGCCGCUACGACAUCCAACGAUCUUGUCCAGCCGAUUUCCAUCAAUGCAUCGGCUCAGAUCCCACUUAAAUUGGAUUCCACUAAUUACCUAGCGUGGAGAUUCCAAUUCCGAACCCUUCUUAUGGGUUACGACCUCCUCGGCUUCUUGGACGGAUCAAAGUCGNNNNNNNNNNNNNNNNNNNNNNNNNNNNNNNNNNNNNNNNNNNNNNNNNNNNNNNNNNNNNNNNNNNNNNNNNNNNNNNNNNNNNNNNNNNNNNNNNNNNNNNNNNNNNNNNNNNNUAUCAUGGCUCUCAAACAACAGCUCCAUAAUCCGGUAAAAGGUUCUAAAUCUGUUACUGAUUUUAUGCACGGUAUUCGCGUGAUUGUGGAUGAAUUAUGUUGAUUCUGAGGAUCUUGUCAUUAAGGUUCUAAAUGGUCUUGAUGAUCCGUAUAUGGAGCUCUCUCAUGCUAUCCAAACCCGUGAAUCUCCAAUCUCUUUUGCUGAAUUACAUGACAAGCUGUUAAGCUUGGAGGCUCAGAUUACUGCCCGUGCCCCGGCCACCUCCGCCGCAUCUGAUUUGGCUCCGUCGGCUUCCUUCGUCGCCGGACAGCAGUCCGGCCAUAAUCGCUUCAGUGGCCGCGGGCAUGGCCGUGGAAGCCGUGGUUUAUCCUCCGGCCGCGGUGGUUACUCCAACAAUGGCCAAUCUCGCGGGUACAAUGGAAAGUGCCAGCUCUACAGUGAUUUGGCCACUCUGCGCGCCGCUGUCCGUCCUAUCCUAUUUCCAGCGCAAAUCAUCCCCCUUACGGUGGACCACUGCCGCGACCAGCAUACGCUACAUCAUCUUAUCUGGCUACUCACACAGCCCAUCACUCUCCAUCUGAUUGGAUCCUGGACUCUGGUGCCACUCAUCACAUAACCAAUGAUUUUCUCUCUUUCUCUUUNNNNNNNNNNNCACUCAUCACAUAACCAAUGAUCUUGCCAACAUGUCUCUUCACAGUCCUUACACUGGUUUUGAUGAUGUGGUUAUUGGUAACGGUGAAGGUUUAAAAUUUUCACCUACUAGCCAACUUUUCAGUUAUUCAUCUCUUUUAUUGCCUGGAGCUCUCUUUGUUCCACAUUUUCGUAAAAAUUUGAUCUCUGUUGCUCAAUUAUGUCGUCACAAUAAUGUUAAUGUUGUUUUUCUGAUACUGAUUUUCAGGUGAAGGAUCGUCGCACGUAGGCAACACUCGUCAACGUCCCACGUAGGAACGACGCCUACUACUGGCUGGCGGCUUCCCGUCAACUGUCUGCCCUCACGGCACAAAAUCUCCCUGCAUCAUUGUGGCAUUCUCGGUUUGGUCAUCCGUCAGCUAAAAUCCUACUUCAUUUAGUGUCUUCUAGCAGUAUAGCGUCCAGUAAUGUGUCUGAUUUUGCUUGUGUCUCUUGCAAGCUUCAUAAGUGUCAUAAGUUACCUUUCUCUGAUUUUGCUUGUGUCUCUUGCAAGCUUCACAAGUGUCAUAAGUUACCUUUCUCUGAGUAGAGUUUAUCUUCUACUGCUCCACUGGAGCUUAUUUUUUCUGAUGUAUGGACUUCUCUAAUUAUUUCUAGUGAAGGAUUUAAAUAUUAUGUCAUAUUGGUUGAUCAUUUUUCUAAGUACGUUUGGUUUUUCCCUUUACGCCGUAAAUCUGAUGUCUUACAAACCUUCCCUACUUUUAAAUCCAUUGUCGAAAAAUAUUUCUCUACUAAAACCAUUACUCUGUAUACUGAUAAUGGGGGUGAAUUCCUAGCUUUACGCUCUUUUCUUGCCUCCCGUGGCAUCUCACAUCUCACUUUGCCUCCUCAUACACCUCAACACAAUGCCUAUGUUGAACGCCGUCACCAUCAUAUUGUCGAUACUGGUCUUGCUCUCCUUCAUUAUGCCUCUAUCCCUCUCAUUUACUGUCCUUAUGCUUUUGCCACGGCAGUCUAUCUCAUUAAUCGUCUUCCCAAGACAAAUCUCUCGAUGCUCUCCUCCUUUGAGUCUCUCUUCCAUAGGCUCCCCAACCUUGCCAAACUGCGUGUCUUCCGCUGUCAAUGCUUCCCUUGGCUUCGGCCCCACACCUCACACAAAAUGAAACCCAGAUCUCGUGCCUGUGUCCUCUUCGGCUACUCAUCUACUCAAAGCGCAUAUUUAUGCUUUGAUCCCUCAACGUCUAAAUUCUUCACGUCAUGUCACCUUCCAUGAAGAUAUCUUCCCGUUCUCCAAAUUGUCUAACCCCGAGUCUCAUCCCGUACCCAUUCCGGUUACCCUAGAAGUCCUUCCGCUGCCUCCGCCAGUACCUACCGCCGCUCCUACUAGCGAUCCUUCACUGGACGCACUGCCGGCGCCAACGCCCGAGCCACCAACGCCUCUUACGGCACCGCCAGCGGCCCCCGCCGCCGCUACACCCACUAUGCUGCCACCUUCAUCCUCUUAGGGUGGUCAUCACAUGCAAACUCGCAGCAAAAAUAACAUCUUUACGCCCAACAAGAAGUUUGGUAUGACUGCUCUAUCCUCUCCAGCUGUAACAGAACCUAAGACUUUGUCUAGUGCUAUGUCUGAUGAGCGCUGGCGCGCUGCUAUGUCAUUGGAGUUUGAUGCUCUGCUACGGAAUGGCACCUGGGAUCUUGUUCCAAAAAAUAACAUCUUUACGCCCAACAAGAAGUUUGGUAUGUCUGUUGUAUAUUCUCCAGCUGUUACAGAACCUCAGACUUUGUCUAGUGGUAUGUCUGAUGAGCGCUGUCGCGCUGCUAUGUCAUUGGAGUUUGAUGCUCUGCUACAGAAUGACACCUGGGAUCUUGUUCCACCUGAUUCUUCAUAUAAUGUUGUGGGCUGCAAGUGGGUUUAUCGUAUCAAACGAAAGCCUGACGGUACUGUGGAUAAGUUCAAAGCCCGUCUUGUUGCAAAAGGCUUUCAUCAGCGUCCGGGUGUGGAUUUCCAGGAGACUUUCAGUCCGGUUGUUAAGCCGUAAACUGCGCAUUUGGUUCUCAGUAUAUAUGUAUGUCCGUCGACUUCCAGGAGAUUUUCAGUCCGGUUAUUAAGCCGGCAACUAUGCCUUUGGUUCUCAGUCUUCGUCAAAUGGAUGUGAACAAUGUCUUUCUCCACAGGAGGCAUACAGAGGAUGUCUGUAUGGCACAACCACCGGGUUUUGUUGACAAAGCCUAUCCAUAUUAUAUCUGUAAGUUACAAAAAGCUAUUUAUGGUCUCAAACAGGCACCUCGGGCAUAGUACAGUGAGCUCCGCCAAUGCCUUUUGGCCAUGGGUUUUGUCAACACUACCUCUGACACUUUGCUCUUCGUCUUUCAGUAUUCUGGUAUUACAGCCUAUUUUUUGGUAUAUGUUGAUGAUCUCAUAUUGACUGGUAAUGACUCUGCCUUCUUGAACCGUGUGAUUAACUCUCUUGGGACUAAAUUUUCUCUUAAAGACAUGGGUGAUCUAAGCUACUUUCUUGGUGUUGAGGUUCUCCGCAGCUUCANNNNNNNNNNNNNNNNNNNNNNNNNNNNNNNNNNNNNNNNNNNNNNNNNNNNNNNNNNNNNNNNNNNNNNNNNNNNNNNNNNNNNNNNNNNNNNNNNNNNNNNNNNNNNNNNNNNNNNNNNNNNNNNNNNNNNNNNNNNNNNNNNNNNNNNNNNNNNNNNNNNNNNNNNNNNNNNNNNNNNNNNNNNNNNNNNNNNNNNNNNNNNNNNNNNNNNNNNNNNNNNNNNNNNNNNNNNNNNNNNNNNNNNNNNNNNNNNNNNNNNNNNNNNNNNNNNNNNNNNNNNNNNNNNNNNNNNNNNNNNNNNNNNNNNNNNNNNNNNNNNNNNNNNNNNNNNNNNNNNNNNNNNNNNNNNNNNNNNNNNNNNNNNNNNNNNNNNNNNNNNNNNNNNNNNNNNNNNNNNNNNNNNNNNNNNNNNNNNNNNNNNNNNNNNNNNNNNNNNNNNNNNNNNNNNNNNNNNNNNNNNNNNNNNNNNNNNNNNNNNNNNNNNNNNNNNNNNNNNNNNNNNNNNNNNNNNNNNNNNNNNNNNNNNNNNNNNNNNNNNNNNNNNNNNNNNNNNNNNNNNNNNNNNNNNNNNNNNNNNNNNNNNNNNNNNNNNNNNNNNNNNNNNNNNNNNNNNNNNNNNNNNNNNNNNNNNNNNNNNNNNNNNNNNNNNNNNNNNNNNNNNNNNNNNNNNNNNNNNNNNNNNNNNNNNNNNNNNNNNNNNNNNNNNNNNNNNNNNNNNNNNNNNNNNNNNNNNNNNNNNNNNNNNNNNNNNNNNNNNNNNNNNNNNNNNNNNNNNNNNNNNNNNNNNNNNNNNNNNNNNNNNNNNNNNNNNNNNNNNNNNNNNNNNNNNNNNNNNNNNNNNNNNNNNNNNNNNNNNNNNNNNNNNNNNNNNNNNNNNNNNNNNNNNNNNNNNNNNNNNNNNNNNNNNNNNNNNNNNNNNNNNNNNNNNUCUUUUUAUUAUUGGUAGAAUAUUCUUUCAUUAUUGUACAGUCCUAUAGUUGGUAGGAUUUGAUUUCUUUCAUUAUUGUACAGUUCUAUAGUUGGUAGGACUUGAUACCUCUCUGUACUCUAUAUAUACUUUUGUGAGCAAUACGAGAAAAUCAAUUCUCCCAAUACUCUCUACAUAUAUUUCACUAAUUUAAUCGUUAAUCAUCGAAUUUAGCUUAAUCAUAGUAUAUUGGUCAAUUUUAUUAAUUAGGUAUGCCAACCAUUGUCAACUGGGAAAAGUGGACACCUAAUAGCUGAGUGCUUGCAAGGAGAGAACAAAAAGUGAGUCUCUUUUGAAUUUGUAGUCCCCUCAUUACAUCCAUAUAUCCAUUCACUUCAAGAGAGCAUAUUGAUUAGUUAAACCUUCACUUUCAGUAGCGUAUUCAUUUUGAGAAAGCCAUCAUAUUCGGAAUAUUACUAUUUAAAUAUUAAAAAAGUCAGAAACUUUAAAAAACUUAGUAGUAGUUCUUUUCGCGUCAUAAUGGAUAAGAAUUUUACACAAUUGUAUUUGAUAUGACAGCAUACAGAAGUCACGUGUUUAGUUACUGCAAAAUAUAUUUUUUUUACCAAGAAAAAGGGAUUAUGCUAUCCUUACAAACGAAAGUCAUAUUCUACAACUAUUCCAACUACUUUAUUUCAUAUCACUUGCUCCAACCAGAAUUGACAUUAUUAUCAAUGUUUAACACUAAUAUUCGAAAUUUCACCAAAAUUCUGCCAAUGCUGACAUUUUUGUCAAUUUUCAAAUUAUAUUUUUUUGGAAAAAGCAUUUAUGUACUUCACCAACCAAGAACUGAAAAUAAGUUAUUUAAUUUUCCUGAGAAAGUUUUUUGAACGGAAUAUAUGCAUGUUCGUCCUACCAAACACAUUAUCUUUUUUUCUUCCUAUUCCCAAAAAAAAAACUAGAUAAAUAAAUCGUUGGAAGGGUUUGUCUGUGUUGGUAAUAAAACUACAAGAAUCAAGAAUUAUCAAUUGGUAUUUUACCUUUGCUCGCAUACAUACAACUAAUGAUGAUCACGCACGUGUAAUCAUUUCAGUUUACCAAAAGUAUUAAUUGAUGGACCAUAUGGAGCACCAGCACAAGACUACAACAAAUAUGAGGUGCUUUUGUUAGUAGGUCUAGGAAUUGGAGCUACCCCAAUGAUCAGUAUUGCUAAAGCCAUUGUCAACAACAUGAAAGCUAAGGAGAAAGAAGAGAAUAAUGACUUGGAAAAUAUACAUGAAUAUAUUCCUAACCCCACAUCACAAAAGAAAAGGAACUUAAAAAGCAAGAGGGCAUACUUCUAUUGGAUUACUAGAGAACAAGGUUCAUUUGAUUGGUUUAAAGGUAUAAUGAAUGAAAUAGCUGAAAUGGAUCCUAAUGGUGUGAUAGAGAUGCACAAUUAUUGUACAAGUGUUUAUGAAGAAGGUGACGCUCGUUCUGCUCUUAUUGCUAUGAUUCAGUCACUCCAACAUGCCAAGAAUGGUGUAGAUAUUGUCUCUGGAACAAGAGUUAAGAGUCACUUUGCUAAACCUAAUUGGCGAAAUGUCUACAAGCGCAUUGCUUUUAAUCACACUAAUGCAAGAGUUGGUAUGUAGUCAAGACUUAGUACAGUUAUAUAUUUAUAGUACAAACUGAAAGCAAUGAGAACGUCUUCAAAUAUCAAACUUUCACGUGUUGGAGGCUCUUUUGGUGUCAAUUUCCGUAAUAAACUUUGUUGUUCGACUCUCCAUAAAUGUUACCAGGUGCAUUUGAAUUCUUCAAAGUAAUGCAUUUUUUAAAAAUUUGAUACGGAUACAAUCGCAUUUUGGAAUGUCAACUUAAUAUAAUAAUAAUAAAAUUGAAAAGGUGUAUUCAAGUGAUAACUUCUUUUCUUUCUGAAAACAAUUGGCACGCACUGUAGCAAUUAUUUUCAAUCACACACCAGAUAACCUAUUUUCUAUUGGAAAUUUUGCAGGAGUUUUCUACUGUGGGGCACCAGCACUGACGAAACAGCUAAGACAGCUAGCCUUGGAUUUUUCCCGCAAGACAUCCACAAAGUUUUAUUUCCAUAAAGAAAAUUUUUGAAACCAAACAGAUAAGGACGAUUUUUAAAGAAUCCAUAUCCACUAUGUCUUCUGUAUAGAAAAUCUUGCAGAUUUAGUUAAUAAAUAGUUCAGUUUUGUGUUGUUAUUCGUAUUCUUAUAACAAUAAUUUUUUUAAUAGGAGUAUUAGAUUAGAUUUGCAUGGUUGACACUUAGGCGUUUUACUUGCAUCACUGAAGGUGAUUGGGCUCAGUUUUGUUAUUGCCUUUUCCCCCGUCUUUUUUUUAACAGAUGGGCUAUGAAAACACAGUAGACCGACCAAAUCACCUUAUGACUGACCCCAACAUGUUUAUGUUCAAUAAUUUUCCAGUAAUAAUAGUACCCUAGCCUCCUUUACAUGUUUAAAAGUUCUGAACAACUAUAUAUAUNNNNNNNNNNNNNNNNNNNNNNNNNNNNNNNNNNNNNNNNNNNNNNNNNNNNNNNNNNNNNNNNNNNNNNNNNNNNNNNNNNNNNNNNNNNNNNNNNNNNNNNNNNNNNNNNNNNNNNNNNNNNNNNNNNNNNNNNNNNNNNNNNNNNNNNNNNNNNNNNNNNNNNNNNNNNNNNNNNNNNNNNNNNNNNNNNNNNNNNNNNNNNNNNNNNNNNNNNNNNNNNNNNNNNNNNNNNNNNNNNNNNNNNNNNNNNNNNNNNNNNNNNNNNNNNNNNNNNNNNNNNNNNNNNNNNNNNNNNNNNNNNNNNNNNNNNNNNNNNNNNNNNNNNNNNNNNNNNNNNNNNNNNNNNNNNNNNNNNNNNNNNNNNCGUUAAAGUUUGUGACAAUAUUUAUAUAUAUAUAUUGUCACAAACUUUAACGACUAUCUAUCUUUUAUCUCCGAGUGAUAGAAACUAAGGAUUCAUCAAACUACAUAGAGAAUCAAGUUAUUUGUUAGUUCUUACAGAAUACACGCACACUGCAGUAAGUAAAUGACACAAUGGAGUUUUAUGACGAAAACUUCCAGCUCACGGGAUUAAAAAUCACGACCUAUCCUUGUAUGAUUUCAACUUCACUACUAAGGAAACUUCAUAUUACAACCUAUUGUAACCUAGGAAUUAACCUCUUAAUCUCACUAACUUGUAACAACUCUAUUACAAAGCUUUAUAACUCGACUAACUCUAGCCAAGACACAAACACAAAAGUUUAUGAUUUACAAGAGUUUCCUAUAUUAUACUUCUAACUAAGCUAAGUAAGAAUUACAAGUAAAGUGCUUCAACAAAGGUGCAACACAACUAAGGACAUGUAAUGACUCAAUACAGGAAACUGGUCCUUUGCGAUGUUGUUCUUUGUUCUUGAUGCCCUUGAGAAUCACUUGCAAGAUUGACACAGACUUGAGAGAAUGCUUGAUAGGUUCUUGAAUGUGCAAUUAUUUCAUUUUACCUUUGCUUGAUGCUAACAAUUCUUGUAACAUCACUUGAAUGAUGCACGCAAGUUUGGUAAAGGCAUAAAGUUGUUUAUUGCACUAUCUUGUACUAUUGCCUGUGCUGGCAGCAAUUUUACAGCUGUGGGGAGUAGACUUGUAAAGUCACCAAGGGAACUGGUGGCCAUAUGUUCCCUCUGUUGUUCCUUUGACUCUAAAAAGUUGAACCACAUCCCCAACUGGAGACCUGUUGAUCUUAAGUACUUGAGGAUGUGUAACAGGUUCCUUAUCUGGUUCUUAACAUUAAGUUUGUUAGAUUAUCAAAACAUAACAGGUAUACAUAUAAUCAAUGAAUUUUUCCUUUUUUGAUGAUGACAAAUUUAUAAUUGAAGUCCUCCAUAAGAACCAGAAUGACACUCGCAUUUCCCAUAUUCCCCCUGAAUCUGUUCCAUGUCUUGUUCCCCCUCAGUUAUUUUUCCCCCUUUUGGCAUCAUAAAAAGAUCAACAACAAUUAAUAAGCAAAAGUAAGUCUAGCUUGGUUAACUCAUGCCACAUGUGUGCACAUAAUCAUGACUAAAAAGAGCAAGAGAGUAAAACAUACAGAGCAAAAAGACGAAACUUUCAUUAAUUUUUGAACAUUAAACAAGGAGCACUUCCAUUGUUAUCAAAACAUCCACAAAAUAAGAACAACAAAAAAAGAUUCCAGUCAUAAACAUCAUUAAGACCGAAAUAGAGGACAUACUCACUACUAAAAAAAUCUAGUUUUAGCGACGGACAAAUUUUGUAGCUAAAUAGAGAAAUCUCUUGCUAAUCUUAUUUAGCAACAUAUUAGUGAAAAAUUAUCAAGAAACUCUUCUAGUUACGAGCAAUUUAGUGAUAGAUUAGCAAUAUAAUUCGUAGCUAAUUCCAUCUUUUCUUUUAGUAGUGACUAGAAAUCUUGACACUAGGAAGGGAACAAUUUUUAGCGAACACUGGAAGAGAAGGCCCAAAUGAAGAGGCAAGAGUUCUAAGAAGGAUGUCCAUUCGAGCAUUACCUGAAACCUGCUCGUUGAGCAGUCUCUCAUUAAGGUCCUCAACCUGUUUCAUAUGGUCAGCAUUUUGUUUUGUCAGACGGACAACCUCUCUUCGUUGAGAGCUGCUAGAACCAGUUACCUCCUGAACCUGACUAGCUAAAAUUCGAGAAUGGAAUUCCUUUCCUUCACCUCCUUAUCUCUUUAGUGGCAUUAUUUUGAGUGUUGGUCAGCUCAGAAAUAGUAGUAUUAUUGUACAUCCCUCCACUUCUGUCACUGCAUUCACACUCUUCUAGGGUGGUCUUGGAGAAGGCUUGCUUGCGAGUUCCCAGCUUAGCUUUUUUAAGGGACUGAAAAAUUCAAAACUUUAGUGAGGAGGAACCCGUAAGGCAAACCAUGAUUACCGUCCUUGAACCGUGACACCUUGUUCAUGUGUUUUAUCAUAAGUCCAGGAAGAUUUACAGUGGUGUAGCCAUCUAGUGCUUCCAUGAGAACCAAGUCUACUCGUGAAGUAAUGGACCGUCUUUCUACGCCUGGGGAGCAAAAAUUUGUUCACCAAUUCAAACAGCAGUUGGCACUGGAAGAUGGUCCUUCUUGUGUACUCGUUCCCCCUGAAUUUAUGUCUUAUCCUUCACGAUGGCAUUUCUAAAGUUAGAAGCACAGGUUCCCUUAAUGGCGGACAUUUACUCAGUCGAAGAGGGUGAUCGCAUUUUAAAGAGGGUGUGAGAUUUUGUGCUUUCGGUUGGACACCUAAAUCUCAUUAUGAGAGGAUCUAGGUUCUUCAGGAUAUGAUCCAUAUGUACUGUUUCUCACCUCAGCAAUUGUUGUUCCAUGUACAACAUCCACAACUAUGAUUUCUGCUUCAGUUGUCAUGAUUGAGGGACCAAGUUCCUCUUUGUCAGCUGAAGAUUCAAUUGCGCUAUUAUCAUUUGAUUCCUUGACCUGCAUCAUCAUAUUUGUCUUUCCAUUUACCAUAUGAAUGAUUUUACCAGGGAUAUUUGAUAGCUUUCCAUCUUGAUCAACCUUAUGUGUGUAGCUCUUCAAGGAGGGUGACGUGUUUCGUCAAAUAUCAAAUGUAUGCUUUCCUCAACACAUUGAGUUCUUUUGUUUUAUACCUUGUAGGCUUUUCUUUGUGAUAAAUAUCUAAGAAAUAUUCCUUCAUCAAACUUUCCAAAAACCUUACCAUUAUUGAGGACAAAGCAUUUGCAACCAAAUGUCCUCAAGUGUGUUAGCUUAGGUUUUCUCCCAUUCAUCAGUUCAUAUGGGGUUUUGUUCAUGAAAGACCUAUUCAUGCAUCUGUUCACUAAGUAGCAUGCAGUGUUGACUUCCUAUGCCCAGAAACUUUUUACAACACCACCAUCAAUCGGCAUUGUCCUAGCCAUAUUUUCAAGAGUCGUGUUUUUCCUCUCCACAAUAGCUUUGUUGAGGCGUUCUUGGAGCUAAAAAUUGUGAAAUACCAUUUUCAACACAAAACUCGUCGAACCUUACAUUGUCGAAUUUCGUAGCUUGAUCAGAUCUUAUACUCAUAAUAAUAUGGCUCAUCUAUACUUGAAUUUUCUUGGCAAAAGCAACAAACACUGAAAAGGUCUCAUCUUUGGUUCUGAGGAACAAGGUCCAUGUGAAUCCAGAGUAGUCAUCCACAAUGACGAAAAUGUACUUCUUUCCUUCUCUGCUUGGCAUUUUUAUAUGUCCACAUAGAUCCAUAUGGAUAGAGACCAUGUGGCCUUGAGGUGAUUACUUCCUUUUUUGGUUUGAAGCAGGACCUGAUCUGAUCUCCUUUUAUGCAUGCAUCACAUACCUUAUGAUCUUUGAAGCUUGACUUAGGCAAUCCACGAACCAGGUGCUUCUUGACCAACUUGUUCAGUAAUGUAAAACUUGUAUAUACCAACCUUUUGUGCCAUAGUUCAAUAUCAUCAUCCAUAACACAUAGACAUGUGAUAUCCCCAUUAUGUAGUGACUCAAAAUCAACGACAUAAAUCUUUUUGUAUAUUUUUGCUAUCAGGAUCACAUUACCAGUCACAAGGUUAGUGACUGUACAUAUCUUUGAUACAAAUUCCACUUUGUUUCCCUUGUCACAGAUUUGGAAAACACUCAGCAAGUUGUACUUCAGCUCGUUCACCUAGUACAUAUUUUCAAUUGAGUGAGAGAGAGAGACUUCACAAUCCUUCCAACUCCCAGAAUAUAUCCCUUCUUGCCUUUUCCAAAUGACAUACUCCCUCAUUGCAAGGCCUUCAAUUGAAGGAAAUCAUUUGUGCUUCCAGCCAUGUGCUUUCAGCAGCCACUAUCCAUGUACUAUUGUUGGUUGCUCCCUUUCAGUGCCCACUACAUAAGGAAAUCAAACGUUAAACUUAAGAACCCAAAUAAUUUUGGGUCCCUUGUAAUGAGAAAAUGGGUGAAUCAAAGUUCUUUUUUGUCCAAGAAGGAAAUACACGUUUGUUAUAUGAUAGAGCAAGUUUUUUAGCAAUAGUUACUUUUUCAGCAAAAACCUUGUUUUAUUGGUGGGAGUGGAAUCUGGCUUUACAUGUUUCCUUAAAAUGUCAGUGACCACAGUGAGUGUAGAGCCAGUUAUCAGGAAUAGUAACGUAUUUGUUAUGUGGGUUGUAAGGGGUUUUUUUCUUUUUGGAACUCGAUUCCGUGCUUGUUCCCCCUACUAUUCUUAUGUAUAGCAGUGAUUGCAUCAGAGGACCAAGUCCACUUAAGAGUGUUUUCUAGGUUACUCUUCACUCAGCCUAGAUCUUCCCGAAGUUGUAUAUUUUUCUCAAGCUCAGCAUACAUAGUAGAUUUUACUAAUUUUAGCUCAUUUUCAAGCCUAAGGUAUGCAUCACUUGCAACUUUCUUUCCCCUUUGAGCAUUCACAAGCCUACUUUCCCUUCUUAGAUCCUCAAUUGUUUCAUUUAGGUCUAUAGCUACUACUAAUAGGACAUCUCUCUCAUGCUCUAUAUUUGCAAUUAUCUCAGUCAAAAUAUCUUUUUCCCCUUUUUAAACUCUCAAUGGUAUCUCUUAGAUCAACUGCAACCACCACUAGAUCAUCUCUCUCGUGUACUAUUUCUCCUAGUUCCAUAGUUAGGACAUUUUUAUCAUUAAUGAGACUGUGAUAUGCAUCAAUUAAAACAUUAGCCAAGGAUAUAAGCUUCUUUUGAGAAUAGAAUUUCAAAUUCUUGAACAUCCAGAAAGUUUACCUCAUCUUCAUCUUCAUCGUCAUCCUCAUAAUCAUUUUCUAAUAUAGCCAUUAGAGCAUAUGGAAUCAUAUUCAGGUACUUCACUUUCCACUUCCAUCAUGGAGCUUUCACCUUAAUCAUCAUCAUCUCUAGAUUAGCUGGAAGAGUCCUCCCAUGCAACAAGAGCUUGUUUCACAACAUUGUCAGCAACAUCUUUUCUCUUGAAAUUUUUGUCACGAACCUGGUUCAUUUUGCCUCCUAUGUCUGUGUUGUGUGAUUUGUCUUAAGGAGAGGACAUUCCUUAAUGAAGUGUCCUGAAUUCCCGUAUUUAUGACAUAGUUCGUAUCCUCUUAGCUUGCUUGAACUGCUUCCAUUUAGAAUACCUCCAUUUCUGCAAACUAUUUUCUGAAAUCUCUUAGACAGAUAUGCCAUAUGAGCAUCCUCACUUCCUGAGUCAUUGUUGUCUGUCUUGAGGACCAGGUUCUUCUCUCUUUUGGGAUCUCUUAUCUCAUUUUCAUAAGUUUUCAUAUUCACAAUGAGUUCAUCAAUGGUCAGCUUCUACAAAUCCUUUACCUAUGUGAUGUCGUUUACCUGCUUUCCCGGGAACCAGGUAAUACACUAAGUAUUUUCUAGACAAGUUUGUUCCUGAGAAUUAUUUCUCCCAGUGAGUGAAGCUCAUAGAUGAUAGAGGUGAAGCGAGUGUUCCUGUUCUGAAUGGACUCGUCGUCCUUUAUUCUGAAGAGCUCAUACUCAGUUGUCAACAUGUCAAUCUUCGACUGUUUGACUUGAGUUGUCCCUUCGUAUGCUAUUUGAAGAGAUUCCCAAAUCUCCUUAACACUCUCACAAGAUGAGAUGUGGUUGUAUUCACCUAGUCUGAUGCCAUAGAGAAGAAUUUUGCUUUGCCUUGAAAUUCUUCUCAAUAUGCUUUCUAUCAACAUCGUUGUACUCUUUUCUCAUUUUUCAGACUGUAGUUGUACCCUCACCAACAAUUUUCACGGGAACAAAAGGUUCGUCACAUAUUACAUCCCACAACUCUUAGUCUUCUGCCAUGAUGAAAUCAUGCAUUCUUGUUUUUUCACCAACCAUUAGUAUUGGCCGUUGAAUCUAGAUGACAUGUACAUUGAUUUUCCCUCCUCGAAGUUUGGUGGAGCAGCCAUGAUGAAGAUCCUUUUUAGGUGUUAACUUUUUAGAAAGAACCUGCUCAGAUACCAACUGAUAGAAACUAAAGGUCCAUCAAACUAUAUAGAAAACCAGGUUCUCUAUUAGUUCCCGCAGAACACACGCACACUGCAGUAAGUAAAUUUUAUAUGAAAAACUAUCAGCUCACGGGAUAAAAAGUUACGGCCUAUCCUUGUAGGAUUUUAAUUUUACUACUGAGCAAACUUCAUAGUACAACCUAUUGUAACCUAGGAAUUAACCUCUUAACCACUCACUAACUUGUCACAACUCUAUUAUAAGCCACUUUGUAAUAAAUCUAUGAUAAAGCUUUACAACUCGACUAACUCUAUCAAAGACACAAACACAAAGAUUUACGAUUUACAAAAGUUUACUGCACAAUGCUUCUAACUAAGUUAAGCAUGAAUUACAAGUAAAGUGUUUCAACAAAGGUGCAACACAACUAAUUAGGACAUGUAAUGACUCAAUAUAUGAAACUGGUCCUUUGUGAUAUUGUUUUUAUUCUUGAUGCCCUUGAGAAUCACUUGCACAAUUGACACGGACUUGAGAGAAUGCUUGACAGAUUCUUGAAUAUUCAAGUGUUUUUUUUUAUCUUUGCUUGAUGUUAAUAAUUCAUUUGUGACAUUACUUGAAUGAUGCAAGCAAUUUAGGUAAAGGGUAUUCCCCAUAAAAUUGAUUGUUGCGCUGUUUUGCACUAUUGCAUGUGCAUGCAACAACUUUGCAGUUGUGGGGAGUUGACUUGUACAAUCACCAAGGGAACUAGCGGACAUCUCCUCUCUGUUAUUCCUUUGACUCUGAAGAUUUGAAUCACGUCUCCGACUGGAAACUUAUUGAUCUUAAGUACUCGAAGAUGUGUAACGUUCCUUAUCUAGUUCUUAACAUUAAGUUUGCCGGAUCAUCAAAAUAUAACAGGGAUAGAUAUAACCUAUCAUGGAGUAUACAGCAAUAUAGUGACUCAGAGUUACCAAACCAAUAUUCUUUUUUUCACAAGUUUUCAAUGGAGAACCACCUUUUUGGAGCAAACAUACAUUUUAAAAAUACAUGAGUUGCUCCAAAGAAAAUUAAUCAAAACUGAAAAGACAUGACCUGGUGUCGACCUUUAUUACAAACUACUGAAUAUAGAUGCCUCACCAUUCAUGGAGCUAGACUCUUGGUCAGAUCUACAUAUUUCCAUAGAUCGAGAAAACAGGAAAAAAUUCCAUCACCUAACUGCUAAAGUGCAAGGUAAGGUCCCAAGUUCUAAAAAUAUAUAUACAUAUAUAUAAGCUCCCAAGUUUUAAGAAAGUACGGAAGCAAAAAAAGUAAUCUUGUAAACAAACAUAAGCAUAUUAACAUCAUAAAGAACCACAGACAGACCAGCAUGCAGAUCUGGAAGGCUGUUGUGAAUACAAAUCCAGCGCUGACAGAGAUGACAACAAGAUGCCACGAGAGAAGAACCCAUGGUUCUGCCACGUAGGAGUUCUAGAAAAGUAAUAGCACCAGCUAGACUUGAGGAUUCCGUUUGGAAAGGUGGGAGAUCACGUGAAUAGGACAGAGUUUGUUACGGAAAGUGAACUAUUUUAGCAACAGCAGUAUGUCAUUAAGAGGCAGGCAAUUCCGUUAUGAGUCAACUCUGAUUUCCAUCUUCUGGUUUCUCAAACUCUUUCCUCUGGCACCUCACCUGCUUCUUCUAUCCUUAGCUCUUUAAUUUCUGCAAUUCCUAUUGUCUUGUAUUAAUUGGUUAUGACCUUUUCCUAUUUGAGUUGUAAUCACAUACCCAUCUUAUUAACAAAGCUGAAUCUUUUGGUUACUGUUUCAUUGACUUUGAGUUGAGAAUUGAGAAUACAACAAAGGAGGUACAGAAAGCAUACAUGUAUACAAAGUAAUCUGCUAUAUUGUACAGUUUAUUCAUGAACACAGAUCCCUAACAUCAUAAAACCGGGCUCCUAUGGAUGGUCUUAGCUGUAGAUUUGCAGUUACGAGUUCGUUUGGUUAACAGUUUGGGAUGAGUGUGAUUAAAGAAUAUUAAUCAGAGGGAUUUAUAAAAAGUAUAUAACAUAAAUCUCUCUUUAACAAAACUAAAAUCUAAUCCUACAUUACUAGAAUACAUUUUUGCUGCUAGUGUUAGCAAUUUUCUGUCAGUCGUAGCUUACCUUGCUCUUAGGCUGUUGGAAGGAAAAGAAGAGAGUAUUAACAUCGAGACAUCAUUAAAGUGAACGUAGCAAGAGGACUAAAAUAAACUUAACAAAUGCAUCUACUACGGCCUAUAUAAGCAACUAGGACAAGAAUCUUUUAAUUCAGAACUUAGGGAAGAAUCCAAAUUCAUUGCCUGUUCCGAGGAAAAAUAUAUACUACAAAAUUUUGGGGAAAUGUUUACUGGCUUGGCCAUUUGGUAAGGUAGGGGGGAAAGAAAGAAGAUAUAGUAAAGGAAAAUAAAAGAACAGCAUAGCAUCUAACUCUAAACAUCCAAGUCCUUCUAGCAUUCGCUACUUCGCCCGUCAUUAAUUAUCACGUCUACUCCUUCUACGAGGAGCAGCGGCAGCAUCUUCAUUCUCCUCUUCUUUCUCCUCUGUAGCUCCUUGGUUGUUAGAAGUUGAUGCCUCAGCACCGUCACUUUUCUUAGGCUCUGCAGUAGCUCUUGCCUGCACAAGCAAGAAUUCUUUUAUCAAAAACAUAUCCGUUACAAGCACAAAAGCAGGUGGAUAUUUCUUUUUUUUUUCCUUUCCUUUUUGCUUGGGGGAGGGGAUGGGAGGAAAGCUGAGGCUGACUUCGGACUUACAGGUUGCUGUUUCUUCCCACCAAAGAUGACCUUCAAGAGAACUGUGAAAAUGACAACUAUAAUUGAAAUGACAACACCAAUUGUGAGAUUUGGCUGUGUUUCGGCCUUCUGAAGAAGAUCCUACACGACAUGUCUAUGUAUUAGUCACACAUGCAAAAAUGAAACAACAUGCAACACAGAACACCAGUCAUACACUCACCAGUAUUUUGGACUUGUGUUCACCCAACAAGGGGAUGUCAGCCACCUUGUAGAGAAGAUCAAAUACCACUUUCUGCAGAAUGUUCCAAUUUAUCUCAAGUCAAGUGACGAAAUACAAAGAAAAACCAAGAACGAUGGAAUGUAUGGUGAAGAAAGCACAAUCAAUUACCUGGAAUCCUUUGAGCCCACCAGAGUUUGCUACUUCCUCAGCCUUCUGUUUCUCUUUCUCUGCAUCAAACUUGGGCUUCCAUGCAGUCUUCCUGUAUGAUUCUGCAACUUUCUCAUCACUUGCUAUCAAGAUAUUGUCAAACAAUAUACCAUCUUGCAUUGUCCAUAUUUCAAUUCCAAUUGCUGCAAUGGGCUCAAAAUUAGGCCUGUCGAGUUUGAAGUAGUUAGGAUUUGGAAUAUCCCUUGGCUUCCAAAUACCCUUGUAAUUGGGAUUGUCAAUUAGUGGAGCAUGCCAUUUUCCCUUGUAAGCUGGAUUACUCUUCAUUGGUCUUUUCCACUCCCCACAUCCAGGGCCUUCUGCACACUUCGGGUUAUCAAUUUUUGGAGCCUCCCAUUCACCAUCUUCCUCAUCAACCCAAUCUUCAGGCUUUGUUGCCUCAGGAUCAUCGAUCUCUUCAGGCUCAUCAUCCAACCAUCCCUCGGGCUUCUCAGCAUCUUCAUCUUCAAUUUCCAUUGGUGCAUCCUCGUCCCAAUCAUCUGGGUCUGGAAUUUUUGCCCUCUCAUCCCAGUCCUCGGGCUUCUUAUCUUCUGGAUCUGGACUGGUCUCUGCAGGAAUGAGAGGUGGCUCAAGGCCCUCUCAUCCCAGUCGUCGGGCUUCUUAUCUUCUGGAUCUGGAAUGGUCUCUGCAGGAAUGAGAGGUGGCUCAAAAUCAUCAUCUGAAAGGAAGUUUGCCUUCUUUUUCUCAUCCCCAUCAAUCAAGAUCAGCAACUCAUUGUCCGGCUUGAGCACAGCAGUGUAGACAUGGGUUAGUUUGUCAGAAGGUACAGAUGGUGGAAACUUAAGGUGGUGCUCGAUGUACUCCCCACUCUUAGGAUUCUUGUGUUUCAAGAUGAAGUGAACCUUGUUUGUGGCUCCGCAUUUGUCUGGUCCAAACAUUAUAGUAUAGGGAGAAUCGUUGUUGAAAUCCUUGGGAAUCCAACCUGCCUCCUGGGGCCGGAGGUAUUUAAGAUAAGCACCACCACAUUCAAGUCCAUCCUGGAGGCGAACUUCAUAUGCAUUUGUCUGGUCCAAACAUUAUAGCAUAGGGAGAAUCGUUGUUGAAAUCCUUGGGAAUCCAACCUGCCUCCUGGGGCCGGAGGUAUUUAAGAUAAGCACCACCACAUUCAAGUCCAUCCUGGAGGCGAACUUCAUAUUGAAGAACCACAGUUCCAUCUUUGAGGUCGACAACAUCGUCAAGCUCCUUGACAAUAGCAUAUUUCCUUGCCUUCUCACUCACAAGAAGCCCAUAGUCAUCAUGCCCUUCACUCUUGGCAUGUUUCCACACACCUGAGACACAAUUACAACUCAAUAUGAAUGCUUGAAACUUCAACAUCAAAGAUUGACUCAGCAUCACAAACAUAAAGACAUUGCACAACGAUAUAAGAAGCUCUUCAGGGAGAAAUUUAUCUAAACCAUCAAAGUUCUGACUUAGCAUUAUAGACAUAAAGGCAUUGCACAAAGGCAUAAGACACAUUCAAGUGAGAAUUAUUUUACAGCUAAUGACAAACAGAAUCAAGGAGUUCUACAUCGCUUCAAAACAAAUGUGCUUGAAACUUCAACAUCAAAGAUUUGACUCAGCAUCACAAACAUAAAGACAUUGCACAAAGAUAUAGGAAGCUCUACAGUGAGAAAUUUAUCUAAACAAUAAAAGUUCGACUUAGCAUUAUAGACAUAAAGGCAUUGCACAAAGGCAUAAGACAAAUUCUAGUGAGAAUUAUUUUACGGGUGAUGACAAACAGAAUCAAGGAGUUCUACAUCGCUUCGAAACAAAUGGAUAUUGGGACAUGUCCGUCAUUGUGAACACAGUUCUGCAGCAUAUGCACAGAGUAUUAAUGGAUUUGACAGAGUUCAAAAUUUUGACAGGGUGGAAAAUAUAUGAUACACCUUCACAGUAAUUAAUGGAUUUGACUGAUAGUAUAUAUACUUAAAUGACAACACAAAGCAUCUUUAUCACCUUACUCCCUUGAUUUUAAUUUGUAGGUAUAGAAUGAUGCUGUCACAAGUAACAUCUUAAAGAUAUUACAGUAUUGAAUAAUGAAUAUCACUCCACUCGGUUUUAGCUAUAAAAAAUCGUUAUAAACUUGAAUUAGCAUACUUCUCUAACAUAAUAUGCCACAACUCCACCCUCCCAAGGGUAGGACAUCAGUAGAAUGUCUCUCCCAGAAAGCGAAGCUGGAUUCCUAAUAAUGCUGUAUUAGCCAUAGAGUUGCAGUUCAAGGAGAGAACAUAAUCAAAUGUACAAUGUCCCCAUCCUUAAGGGGUCAUUUGUUAGGGUGUACAAGAAUAGUGUGGGAUAAGGUGUGUUAGUAAUGCAGGGAUUGGUAAUGCAUAGGUUAGUAAUGCAAGCAUUAGCUAUGCAGAUAGAUAUUAUUUCUCAUCGACUGUUUGGCGUGGUGCAUUAUAAAUUAUAAUGUAGUGCAUAAUUUUUCAGAAAAAUAGUUAUUUACAAAAAUAUCAUCUAUAUUCUCUAGGUUUAAAAAACUUUAAGUACAAUUGUCUUUAACUCUACUAAUGCAUGCAUUAUUUUCUAUGCAUUACUUAGAGAAAGGAUAAAACCAAGUAUGAUGUAUAAAAAUGUAUCAGUUAUACACAGGUUAGAAAAAAUGUAUCAAACAAGGAGCUAAUACUUGUAUUAUUUUUUCUAAUACUUCCUACCAAACGACCCCUAAAUGCAUCCAUCCUUCAAAUUCAAGAUUAUCACUACAUUAUAAAACAUGAGUUUAGCAAUUAGUGCCCAAAGAAAAAAACACCCCAUCCGCCUCACUUUACAUUUCAACUUGGAUGACACAAAUUUGAGUAAACACCCCAUCCGCCUCACUUUACAAUUCAAAUUCUAAAUGUUAAGCAUUGGUGAGAUUUUAUUAAUCAAUUCAACUUCAACCAUAAGGAUCUUCCACCGAGGGUGUGGCCUAGUCAAUGAAGUGCGAGAACUUGGGGUCUGAGGUUUAAAUCCCUGACCCCAACCGAUUUCUUCCCAUCUAUCCAAGCUUUGGUCGAUAGAGUUACCAUAUACUUGUUGCUGGUGGAAGUGGAAGGUAUCACGCGAAAUUACUCGAGGUGUGGGUAAGCUGGUGGGACAACACACUUAUUUUUUAAAAAUCUUACACUAUGCUAAUACGACAUAUAUACAUAAAAGUCAAAUUCUUAAGGAAUACUGAACAGAUCCAGACGAAAAAAC